This 88512-nucleotide long non-coding RNA is filed under the name Malus domestica (apple). RNAcentral's name for it is "long non-coding RNA (MDOM_LNC017292)". The record is from RNAcentral. Lineage: Eukaryota; Viridiplantae; Streptophyta; Magnoliopsida; Rosales; Rosaceae.
CAAUGGGGGGGUCCCUGCCUACUUGGUUAGUUUCUCAGGGGUGGCUCUGCUUGGUUAAUCACCUAUGAGGGGCAAUUUCCUGUUUGGUUACUUUUGUAGGCUUCGGUUGAACUGUGCCACUCUAGCCCUAGUUUUUAGUGUAUUUGUGAACGAUAGUUUUGGGAAUCUUGGUGGAUUGAAUUAGAAAAGCUAUUGGAUGUCUGGGUGACUCAUUCGGAGGUUUCAGUGACUUGACUUUGAUUUCAUAAAUAUGAUUUGAUGUUUGAGAUUUAUAAACUGUGAUUGAUGGUCUGUUUUUAUUGAUUAUCAUAUACGUUGAAUUAUUAUCACUCACACGAGCUUCGCAGCUUAUUCGGGUUGUUGUUUGCCCAGUGCACCAUUCCCAUGGUGUAGGCACUGAAUGUAUAGGUGACAGGCCUAAGUAGACCACGAGAAGUCGGUGGAGGUAGCAUGGCAUAGAUCAGAGCCUUGAAGCGUUUAGGUUACUCCUUUAUCACCCUUGUACUAUUUAUUUUGGGACUCUCUUUUGUGCACCAUAGGCUUGUCUUGGCCUAAUGAGGGCUGUGUAUUUUUGCGUACGAACUUGUAUGUAUCAUGUUGGGGUGACCCCACUAUCAUAUUUAUUUUGGGAUAUUGGUUUUAGUAUUUCCUUCCGUAUCUUACAUUAGAUUUACCAUACUUUACGGUCCCGUGCCACGUGUUGAUCCUUGACGUAUGUCCGGAUCGAGUCGUGACACAAGUCGUCUAUGCUCCCCUAAUGGAUUUCUUCAAGCUGUAUUGAGACUUUAACACUUAUGUAAUUCUUUUUUCUUGCAUAUGUUAAAUUUUAGGAGGUCUUUUUUUUUUCCGGUUUCCUUUGCUCUUAUUGUACAAACUUGAUAUUUAUUUCGGUGAAAUAAAUGCUCACCAACAAACUAAAGUUUUGACUUGUUAGGACUUUGUGGCGCGCAUUAUGGGUCUCACAUACCACACACAUGACAUGUGACUCAUUAAAGUUGGACGAGUCAUGAGUGAUACAUGUCGACAUCUGGCAUAAUGCAGAAGAAUUACCAGAUUAAGUGGAUGGUCAAAACAAUUAAGGAAUUAUCUUUACAUUAACUUUGAUUUAAAUCAGAUAAAAUUAUUAGAUUUAAGUCAAACAUAAAUCAUGCCAAUUAAAUAAUGCAUUUGACCCCUUUUUGAGCAAUAAUCAAAGUUCGGCCAAGUGAAGUGGCAUUUGGUUCACAUUAAAGAUUGAUUCUUUCAUCAACCAAAUUAUCAAAUUAAGGGUGAUUAAACGGCAAGCCCUUAACUUGGUAUUGGAUUUGGCAAGUUAGCAAAUUAGCAAAUGGAAUUGAUUUGAUUAGCCAAUAGAAUUAGAUUUGAUCAGCCAAAUCAUUUAGUCGCCCAGCCAGCUACCAAAUCAAAGGUGAUUGGUCGGCAAAUAAAUUGAUUUGUAAUUGGCUCAAGUUAAAAGGAGACUACUCAGCAAGUAAAUGGAAUUGGAACUGGAUUUGAUUAAAACGAAAUGGUUGGUAAUUGAACCCACCACAUAAAUAGGGUCUUAGUCAGCCAAAUGCAAUUGGCACAAAUGAACUCGGUCCAAAUUAAUACCAAGUUCACUGAUUUGGUUUAAAUUAAUACCAAAUUAAAUCCAUAUUAAGAUUCAAUCAAGACAAAUCAUGGAGACAAAUUCUAUAAAAUCAUAGCUCGAAAAUAAAUUGAUUCAUAGUGACGCAUCGCCUAGCCAAGUUGAGCUUAAUUCAUAGUGACUUUGUAGUAUGGUUUGAGGAGUCGCUUGAUGUUAUUCGAAGUGACAUUGACCAUGAUAUGCACUCUCUUUGAGUUUUCUAAAUAAAAGAUAUUGCAUUCUUUUCAAAAAAUGCAAGGAAUCAUGAAUAAGCCUAUUAAUAUAAUGUCUUCAAACAUACUAACACUCAGACAUCCACACAUCCCUUGGACGCUCAAACACUCCACACACUCAAAAAGCUCUAUGCAUUUUUCGCCACAUUCGUGGAGAACUAUCAAGCACCACUACACAUGUCAGUUCCUCCAUCGCCACAAGCGGCGUUUGUGGAUUCGAGAUCAAGUCACUAUGACUGUUGGAUCAACCACUAUACACAAAUAUUUUGCAUCCCUAGAGAUUGAAUAAGAGAAUCAAAUUUUGUAUCAGAGAUUGUAACCCUAAUUUCUCAUUUAAUACAAACGAUUACUUUGUAUGCGUGUUCUUGUUUUAUUUGUCGCAGGAAUUUCGUGUUUACAAUCGGACUUUUCCACUUUUGUGCAUUUAGGACACAAAUUAGCCUCCCAGACUUAAUUUUUUUUUCUCUCAAAUAUGCGACCUUUCAUCCAAUAUCAUUACAUCCAUAUAAUUCCAUUGUGUUUGAUUAGGCCCUUUAAGGGAAGUGAUUUCUAUAUUUUUUAAAUGGGGAUUAGUUGUGGAGCCGAUUCUACAUCGAAUUUCAACGAUUAGAACCGUUUAUUUUGUAAGUCUCAAUUCAUAGAUCAUUCUUGCAAAAAUUCAAUUCAAUCCGAAACCAUUUACCUAUUUAAUUGUCACAAUGAAAUUUCAUUGUUUCUCAACAAAGUGUUCGUCAAUUUCUUUGAACUCAAUUAGAUAUCUUAAAUGUUUCUGAUUUGACUAAUAUUUUGCAAAGAUAAUCUAAGAGACGCAACUUUAAAAAUAUACGAUUUGGAUUGCUGAAUUCGAUGUGCGGUGAGCCCCACAACUAAUCCUAUUUUUUUUUUCCAUUCCCUUAAAGGUCUCCAUGUUAGAUUACCUAACUUGCGCGAUCCCACAUUCUGCGGUAAAAUUUGUCAAUUUAAGCCCCGUAUAAUAUCAGACGCUUUCUUAUCCGUUUCCUGCCAAUUGCAAAUGUUGAAGGUCGUUUUCCCUGGAAAAUUUGGUAUAUUGUAAGCCUAUACGUAAUAACUGGUACUGACUAAAUAUGUCGCAGAGUCCAGACCAAUUCUCACGUUUUUGAAAACUGGUAAAUAUGUCAACACUGAAACUAUACUAUUUUUAGUUGCCAGAAAUUUUGUGCCUAUUGAAAUGAUGGUCAUUUCUUGACUUGACAUAGAUCAUUUUUUGUUUGGCAUUUUCUAGCUGAUUCAUUAUAUAUGUUAUCAUUCCAAAUAUUAUAAUAAUACAGGUGAACAACAUUAUUGAUAUGUUAUAUAUAUACAUGCUAUAAUAUGAGUAGAUUGAUAACACCGUGUAACGGUGUUAAAGAUACUGCUCGUUACGAUUGAUUGUUUGUUCGUAUAUGCAUUUGUCUACUAUAAAUAACAAAAGGUGUAAAAAUUAUUGCACUCAGAGACACCUUAGCUUCAAAUGGAAAAUCCUUCAACCACUAUACUUGUUGUGGCUUUACUUUGGGUUUCAGUAGUUGCAGCAACAAGAACUAAGCUGCAAUUGAUUGACGACGCUGAUGGUGGCAUUUGCAAAUCAAUGGUGGAGACACAAGGCUAUACUUGCCAAGAACAUAAAGUAAGCAUAAGAAAGUGCAUGCCUUAUUUCUAUCUUUUUAAGAUUACGUUGACACAACAGAAAUCAAAGUUUUUGUGUUUUGUUUUGGAAAUUUUGAUGAGUUCCAGGUAACAGCCAGAGACGGCUACAUCCUCGGCUUGCACAGAAUUCCGAAGGGACGGUCUGGUAAUAAGACGCCAAACAAGGAGCUGCCUGUUUUGUUACAACAUGGGCUUUUAAUGGUUCUUACCUAAUUAAGCAACAUAUUUUUAUCAUGCUUGUAGACAUGUAUACACAUGUGCAAGACAUAGAUGAACUGAUUAAAUAACAAUUGUCUGUGGAAACUGCAGGAUGCGUCAGCAUGGCUACUCAAUCCGCAAGAUCAAGCUUUGGCAUUUAUCUUGGCAGACAAUGGUUUCGAUGUUUGGCUUGCCAACACUCGCGGGACAAAUUCUAGUCGCGGACAUACAUUACUUACUCCUAAUAAUCCUGUUCGUGUUGCCUCAUAAUUGAUCACAUCAUAUCAUGUACGGAUCAUAAUCUUAACUGCAACGUAUCUUUUAUCUUCUGUAAUGUGUAGGCUUACUGGGACUGGUCAUGGGAUGAAUUGGCUGCUUAUGAUCUUCCUGCUUUAUUCGAGUAUGUGAACAAUCAAACAGGACAGAAAUUACACUAUGUUGGUCACUCCUUGGUAAAUAUUCACCUAAUUUGGUCAUAUUUCAAGUUGGAUAAUACUUACUUAGACCCUACAGAUACACCUCUUUGUCCACUUAGUUGUGACUAACAUAUUUUAACCGUAUAAAUUUCCUAGGGAACUUUGACUGCCCUUGCUGCCUUCUCUCAAGAAAAUCUGUUAAACUUGCUAAGAUCAGCUGCUUUGCUUAGCCCGGUUGCUUACAUGGGUCAGAUGUCAUCGCUGUUUCUAAGGAUUCUUAUGAACAUAUUUUUAGCAGAAGUAACACAAAUCAGCGCCUACUCUUUUGCUUUAAAAAAUAUGGGUUUAGAAUUCACUCCUGCAAAAAUAGAAUUAACUGACUAAAAUGUUGUCUUGUUUUAUUUUACAGAAACUCAAAUUGUUGGGUUUGCCUGAAUUUCCAAAUGGAUGAGAUAGCAACUUAAGCAGUUUUGCUUCAGUAGUAUUAAAGACACAUGCAUGCAGACAAUAGCAUAAACUUGAUUAGAUAUUUUGUUUAACAUAUGACACAUUUGUGAAAAAUGACAUCUAUAGCAGUUUGUUCUUCUCAAAAUCUCAACAGUGAGACACAACAACUUGUGAAGUUUAUCUGCAAAACACCAGGCGUUGACUGCUCCGACUUUUUGGCAACUAUUACAGGUUGAGAGGCCAAAAAAACGUUCACACUUUUAUGCAGGGCUUUAAUUUCACGACAAGUGGGAUUCACAAUCUCAGUAGUAACAAUGUUAGGGUUCCUCAUUCACACUUUUAACAUGAAUUUUUUUUUUUGCAACCCAUAUAUAGGCCCAAAUUGCUGCCUCAGUUCUGCAAGCAAAGCUACUUUGUUUAAGAAUUUUCCCCAGUCCACGGCGACAAAGAACAUGAUACAUCUGUCUCAGAGUGAGUCCCAUUCAUUUCCAGCUUUAUCAGUAAUGGCGAGUUAUAUAAGUAGUAAUAUUUGUAUUUAAGUACCCAGAAUUCCUAUCUAAUUAACAAAUUAAUUACAAUUUUAGUGUUUGGUCAUAUCUGUUUAUGGAUUUUGGAUAGUGGUCAGGAUGGGAACCCUAGAAAUGUACGAUUAUGGUCUAGAAGACGCGAACAUGGAACACUACAAGCAGCCUACUCCUCCUGUGUACAACAUGGCGAACAUUCCGAAAGAUGUUCCUCUUUUCCUCAGCUACGGGGGGAGAGAUGCGAUUUCUGAUGUUAAUGACGUGGGGCUUCUGCUUGACAACCUCAAAGAUCAUGACAAGGACAAGCUUGUGGUAGAGUACAGAGAGGAUUAUGCUCAUCUGGAUUUUAUUAUGAGUGUGAAUGCCAAUCAACUUGUGUAUAAUCCCAUACUGGCCUUCUUCAAGCUCCAUUAAUGUUAUGUUUACUAAUAAUCCUUAACUUCAUGGAACCACUGAAGUUAAUUGUUUACUAAACUAUCCGGAACCGCAGCAGGAAUAAUACUAAAUCUAUAUGAGCUGGGUACAAAUUCAAACUUUACAAGCUAUUGUAGUACGCAUCUCCUACAUGUGAGAGUUCUUGUGGUGUAAGUUAACCUGAUUUUUAUCAGGAGUAAAGUACAAAUAAGUCCUUUUGUCACAUCCACAAUCCAUUUUGCAUUCAUAAUAAACACCCAUUUUUUGUUACCAAAGGAACUGGAUCCCCUCCAGACCCAAAGGAAUUGAACUCACUCAUCAAAUGAUCCGGACCAUUGAAAUUUGAUCUAAUGGCUCCAAACAGAGAGCCCUCUAAAAGUUAUAAUAAUUGUAGCCGUUUGAUCAAAUUUCAAUGGCCUGAAUCAUUUGAUUCUUGGACUUAGUUCAUUUGGAUCCGGAGGGAAUCUAGUUCUGUUACCAUAAGUUUAUGCUCAUGAAGAUGAAUCAGCAAAUCCUAUUGAAACCCCACAUAUUGUUGAAUACACCCAACAUACUUAAUACAUCUCACAUUUACUUUUUUAAUUAAAACCUAUCUUAAUACACCCCAUUUAAUUUCCUAUAAUACCCUCACAUCCCACAAUCUCACUAUAUACCUUAUAUUUUCUAUCAGCAGUUUUUUUUACUGCUUUUAUAAUAUGCAAUCAUGUAGAAAAUUAAUCAUGCUAAGGUAUUGAUUCUGGUUGUUUCUUUUCAAUUUUUUACAGAAUCGUAUGAAAUUAAAAGUGUUCAAUAUGCGUUCCUCCAAAAAACCUAACUGAAGUUCCAAAUCUUUCUCGAACUAAAAAACUUGGGCAUAUAAAUCUUUUUUACUGUAAAAGUUUGGUUGAAGUUUCUUCAUUUUUUUCAAUAUCUUUACAAGCUUACUUUUCUUAAACUUGGAGGGUGCACUAGUAUCAAGUAUUUUCCGAAGAUGCCAAGCAAUAUUGAAUUCUGAAGUUUACGUGGCAGUGGUAUAAAGGAGUUGCCUCCAUCAGUUUGGUCUCACCAAAAACUUUCUUCUUUGGAUAUUGGAGAUUGCAAAGAUCUUAAGAAAUUUCCAAACAGUAGUUGUAAGCUGAAGGUCUCCGGUUAUUUUAGUCUAGACUAUUGCUCAUCUGUAGACGAGUUUUCUAAGCUUUCCAGGAAUAUAAGUGUAUUAGAUUUGACUUGGACAUUAAUAGAAGUAUUGCCCAUAUCAUCAAUGGAGCAUCUCAUUAGUCUCACUGCAAUUAAACUGAAUGAUUGCAAAAGAAUCAAUACUAUGAUAUCACUGCCAAUAUUUUGGCGACUGAAAUCGCUAAAACAGUGAAAAUACAAAGCCUUACCUCAUGUAAAGUUUUCGAAAUGUUGAUUUCAUGUUUCAUUCAUCAAGAAUAAUUUUUUCAAUUAACGUGUUUGUAGUUUCAUUAAUUCUACAAUGGAGGAUGAGAGUGGUUUUGUAAGUUGAAGUAGAUAAAUAAACUUGGGAUAUACAUGUGAAAAGUAAUUUGGAUUUUUAUUUUUUGUAAAACCUUAUAAGGUUGAAAUUGUCAUUACACAUUAGAUAUGUAAGUCAUUUCAUAUUAAAUUUUAAUGAGGGGUGUAUUCAACAUAUUGUGGGGUGCUAAUAAAAAAAGCCUAUAUUUACCAUCCAUUCAUUAAUAUGCAAAUAUCCUAGCUAUUGAUAAUGGAUAAAACGAAUUCAUUAAGCCAUAAAUGUGAGUAUUUUUCGGCUUUAGGUUUCUCCUGGCCUCCAUCUGUGCCAGAUACUUUUUUUAAGGGUAAAUUACACAAAAUUACCUUAAUUAUGAGUCGAAUCAAAAUUUCAUAGCCUAUGUUUUAAACAUUGCAAUGUCAUAUCUCAAUUUAUAAAUUUAUUGCAAUGUCAGACAUUCGUUAAGUUUUUUAUCAGUAUAGUUGUUAAAUGAUGACGAGGCAGGAGUAAAGCCCACUCUUUUUUCCAACUGAAAUAUUGAAUUAAUUAAUUUGUUGAUGCACAAAAUCAGUGAGGACUUUGGUACAACAUAAAGUGUUAAGUUUGUGACAUUCGCUAGAUUGCUCCGGUCAAUAGUGUGGAUAAGUAUGUAAAUGGAUAGAGACAGGGAAGCAAACACAAGAUGUACGUGGUUCACCCAGAUUGGCUACAUCCAUGGAGUAGAAGGGUUCUUAUUAAUUGUGAAGGAUUUACACAAGUACAUAGGUUCAAGCUCUCCUUUUGUGAGUACUAGUGAAUGAUUUAGUACAAAUGACAUUAGGAAAUAUUGUGGGAGAUGAUCUCCUUUUAUAGAAGAGUUUCUAGCUUUGUUCUGACAUUGACACGUGUCGUGUUGUGAUUGACUUCUGAUGUUGACACGUGUCGCACAAUGAUUGGCUUCUGAUGUCGACACAUGUCGCAUUGUGAUUGGCCUCCUGGUUAGAGGGAAACUCUUCUGGGUCCUUGACGGUAUAACGUUGACCAGUGCUCAGUAGUUUCAGGAUUGGUCAAGUAUGGUACAAACAGUGCUCCCCUAAGUUCUCGAGUGAGGGAAGCUCCUCGGUUAGGGACUUGCAAGAUCAAAGCCACUGAGUAAUCACAAAACUUCUAAGUACCGAAGUGUGGUAUUGUCUUCACUUACCUUAUCUGUCUCAUAGGUAGAUGUGGCAUCUUCUCUGGAAGUACUCUUCCUCCAUCCAGAGGUGGUAUCUUUAACGGUGGAGAUGCACAAGGUAAUGUAUCAAUUUCACUUGAAGCUUACUUGUAGUUUCAGGCUUGGUCAAGCGCGAUACAAACCAUGUAAUAAGAGUCCCCCAAGUCACCGAGCUAGGAGAUCUGCCGAAAGAGGUGACAGACAAGGUAAACAAUCAGUCCCAGAUCAGAAGUUUGAUUUCGAGUUCUGGCUAAUUGCUCUUAUUCUCCAUAUCUUGUAGGCAGCAUGAAGGAUAAAGAGAAGAAAAAGGAGAAGAAAUGAUAUGAGAUACUUUUACUUUUGAAGAAGUAACUUUCCACAGGUUUAUUUUUGAACUGGGCUGGAGGGUUUUCUGGUUUCCUUCAGUGUAUAAGGCCGACUCAAGAAUUUGAUGGUCAAAACAAGUCCAUCAAAUCUAGAGUACGUUCGACCAUGAUGAUAUGGGAUACUUUUGCUGUUGACAAAGUAGUGGAUGUAUCGACACGUGUUCUGUUACGCUUGUCUCCACAUGCUUCCUUGUAUCCUUCUCACUUGCCCUAUCUGUUCUUCAGGCAGAUGUGGUAUCUUCUCUGGAAGCAUAAGAUGUUGAAGAUGAGUACUCGAGAGCAAUGCCAGGUAAGUAAUCAGGCAAGGGGUUUCAGGCAGUCAGUUCCUGACAGGAAACUUGAUUCCAAAUGCUGACUGAUUGCUCUCUUUCUCCUUGUCUUGCAGGUAAGAACAAAGGAAAAAGAAAAGACAGGGAAAAAGCAUGAUAUGAGAUACUCUUGCUUUUGACCCUGAUGAUAUGAGAUAAUCUUCCUCUAGUGUGACUAGUUUGCAUAGGUAUUAUUGGGGGGAAGAAAGCUGAGUAUUUUGAGAAGCUUCGUUGUGAGUGUCCACUAUAUGUCUGAUUUGUGAAGAACUGAUCAAAGGGGAGAAAGACAUUUGAGUGAACAAGAUGAAGAUUUUAGAGAUAACUUCUAAUAAUGUGUAAAUAAAAUUAAUAACUAAUGUGGGAAAAUGCGUGCAAAACAAAAUUUGGCGCAAAAGAAUCCAUAUACAAAAUUAAUCAUUUGUGCCUUGAUGAGUCAAUUUGGGCAAUUCUGAGCAUGAUAGGAUGACACUAGAUAUUGCCAUUAAUUAUGUUUAAUCAUUCAUCAGUAUAUUGGCCUAAAUUGAAGGCCUAUUUGACAAUAAUUGGUGUCCAUGAAUUUGUCUACUCCAGUAAAAAUUGCAAUAUCUUUGAAAUUUUGAAAUUGAGGCACAUAGUGAAUUGGCUUAAAUUCAACCACUCUACUUCUAUGAGCAACUAGAAUUAAAGCUGCACUCGAUCACCAAAAAUGGAUGUUGGCCUUCGCAAAGGAAUGGUGGAGACAAAAAAGGCUUUACUGGCCAUUAGAACAAGAAUGUUGCAACCCUUAAAUGUUAAUUUGGAGAUGAGAAACUAAUUAAUGACAUGUUUACUUACCUUGAACGUGUAUUGAAAGUAUUCACAUUCAUAACUUUUAUUGACUUUAUUAACACAUACGCAAUAAAAAAAGGAAUGUGGGUCCAACAUCAAAAAUUGUAAUUAUGAAAGUUAAGAAUUGAAUUUUUGAAUGAAAGGAAUCAAAGUUAUUAGGCUAGUAGUUGAUGAUCCAGUUCUCGUUUCAAAUAAGUAACCAUACCAUGAAAAGUUACGACAUUUUUUUAUUACAAACGAUAUUAUUAUUUUAAACUACAAUAAGGAGAGAAGGAAGAUUUGAACUUAAGACGCAGUGCGUUGAAGAGGAAAAACCAUAUCCACAAAGACAAUCCAUCACUUGCAAAUUACUACACUUUGAAUACAACGAUAUGUUUACCACUAAAGGGGUGGGGAAUUGGGCUUGGCCGUAUAAUGAGUCAACCACAAUAAUUUGAUUACGAAUUCGUCAUCUACGGAAGUUGAAUAUAAGACCUUCCAAUUAUAAGUGGAGAUAAAUAUUAUUAGACCGUAAUACUAAGGGACUACUUGGGAUAUUUAAGUGAAGAAUUUGAGUCUGACAAGGGUUAAAGGGUCUUGUUAAUUAGUUAAUGUGUCACAUUAUCAUUUAACUGAUAAAGCUAAAUUUAAAGUCUUUACAAUAAAGUUGCUUCAUCAUAAAAUCUAAAUCAUUAAGACACAGAAUCGGUUGCUAAUCCACCACCAACUAAAUGGCAAACUUUGGCUAUGCAAUUGAUUGAGCUAGAUCCAGCCAUAAAUAUUUUGUUAUUAUUGUGCAUAUAUAUUUGCCUAUAAAAUAAGAAAACAAAAGCACUGAAAAUUUGAAACCGUUGCACCCAGAAACCACUGCGCUCAAAAAUGGCUAACCCUUCAACCACUCUAAUAUUUAUGGCUCUACUUUGUAUUUCAGCAGCAGCAGCAGCGACAAAAAAUAAGCUGUACUCAAUCGAAAAUUCGAAUGUUGGCCUUUGCAAAUCAUUAGUGGAGACACAAGGCUACAUUUGCCAAGAACAUAAAGUAAGUUAUCAGAAUGUGUCUUCCUUGAUUCGAUAUUUUCGGAUCACAUAACCAAUAUGUGACAUCAUAGAUAAAUUCUGUUAUCUUUUGCCAUAGAUCAGCUUUUCGAUGAGUUUCAGGUAACAACAGAAGAUGGCUACAUCCUUGGCCUGCAGAGGAUUCCAAAUGGACGAUCCGGUAAUACGACAGCCGACAAGCUGCCUAUUCUGUUACAACAUGGAUUGUUACUGGUUUGCAUCUAAUCACCAUAUUUUUGAAAUAUAUGUACAAAUAUUGUGCCUGACAUAAAAAUAAAUUGACAAACAUUUUUGUGGCAACAGGAUGCUUCAUCAUGGCUAUUCAACCCGCCGGAAGAAUCUUUGCCAUUUAUCUUGGCUGAUCAUGGUUUUGAUGUCUGGCUUUCCAAUGCUCGUGGGACGAGAUCUAGUCGUGGACACACAUCACUUAGUCCUAAUGAUCCGGUUCGCUUUGCUUUUUGGAAAUGUUGAUCCACAUCAUACCAGCUUAAUUUGCAUCUUAAUCAUGUACUAAUAAUAUCCAACCAAUAAUUUAGGCUUACUAACGCUAAACCCUAAUGUUUUACCCGCUAACACUAUCGUUUGUUAAAAAAUGAAUUAGGCUUACUGGGACUGGUCAUGGGAUGAAAUGGUUGUUUAUGAUCUUCCUACUUCAGUCCAGUACGUCCGUGAUCAAACAGGACAGAAAUUACACUACGUCGGACAUUCCAUGGUAAACAUUUAAAUAACGUUUUUUCGUCUUUACUCCCGGGAAUUUUCAUGUUUUAGAAAUUUAAUUGUUGUACAUUUAAAGGGAACUGACUGAGACUUGAAGCUGUUGAAUUAUAUAGGGAACUUUGGCUGUCCUCGCUGCCUUCUCGGAGAAAAAGCUGUUUAACUUGCUAAGAUCAGCUGCUUUGCUUAGCCCGGUUGCUUAUCUGGGUCAAAUACCCUCACUGAUUUUAAGAACUGCUGCCGAAACAUUUUUAGCAGAAGUAACACAACUUAAUGAACCUUUUUGUUAUUAUAUAUGGAUUCUUAAAAAUCUAUUGUUACAAAUAUAUAAUUUAUGACAAAAAUGCUCUCCUUUUUUUAUUUACAGGAAGUGAAAUUGUUGGGAUUCCCGGAAGUUCCAAACGAGUGAGAUGGCAUUUUACACAAUUUUUGUUUCCGUAACAUAGGCACAGUCUAUUUUUGUUAAAGAAAAUUGGAGUUUUUAAGUGUGUUUUAAAGUUGACAAGAAUGCUUUUUUACAUAGUUUGAAAUAUUAAUCCAUCUGAUUAUCAGUCACUCAAUGGGAAAUUACAUCACUGACAAUUUUUCUGUUCGUACCAAAAAUCCUACAGGCAGAUUAUAAAACUAGUGCAAUCGAUCUGCAGAUCACAGGGAAUUGACUGCUCCGACUUACUGGCAGCUGUCGGAGGUAGUAAUACAAAGCUUGCUCAUGCAUUCACACUUUUAAACUUGAAAUUUUGAUUUGCUCAGCAGAGAUUGAAUUUUUUAUUUGCAAUCUGCAGGCCCAAAUUGUUGCCUCAGUCAUUCAAGUAUAGAUGCUCUCUUUAAGAACCUUCUCCAGCCCACUUCAACAAAGAACCUUAUACAUUUUGCUCAGAGUAAGUCUCUUUGAUUUCCAGGUUCAAUCAUGUGGUAACAAUCUAAAGCACAAUCCAAACUUUAGUAAUAAAACAUCGGAACUUCUCCGUGCAGGACACUGGAUGUAUGGAGAAAACCUACUUCUACUCAAUUUUAUUUUCAAUCCCAUUAAUCGACGAUGUUGAUUAUUAGGGUAUAAAAUGGCUUUUUAGAGCUUUGAUUCUAGAUUUUAAGUAGCCUAAUGCUUGACAUAAACCAAGAAUCUAAGCAAUUAACCAAUCCAAAACUAGAAGUUAAGGUCUAAGCUCUAGUUUAUGAUUGUAUACCCUAGCUAAAACAAAACCAACCAUGUCAAUAAAUGGGAUCAAAGAUGAUGAAAAAAUUUUGAGUAGAAAAUGAUAUUUUCUCAAUGCGUAAUUUCCUGCACAUGAAAAAGACUGAACUUAAAUUUGUAUUGAAACUUUUAGAUGAAAUGCUUAUAUAUGAUGUUUCAAUUCUUUACUUCUUAUUUAUGGAUUUUGAAAAGUGAUCAGGAAAGGAACCAUAGAAAUGUACGAUUACAGUCACGCAUACAUGAACAUGGAACACUACAGGAAGCCUACUCCUCCCGUGUACAACAUGGCAAACAUUCCGAAGGACAUUCCUCUUUUCCUCAGCUAUGGAGGGAGAGAUUCAAUUUCUGACGUGAAUGAUGUGGGAGUUUUGCUUGACGACCUCGAAGAUCAUGAUAAGGACAAGCUUGUGGUACUGUACAGAGAGGAUUAUGCUCAUUUGGAUUUUAUCAUGAGUGUGAAUGCCAAUCAACUUGUGUAUAAUCCUCUAGAGGCCUUCAUCAGGCUUCAUUAAUUAAGAGUAAAGACUACAGCUACUUUUGCAAAUAUGUUGAAGACAUUUCUUUUGUCUGACAAUUAUCAAAAUUCAUAAGUUAUUUAUAAAGAAAUCGUAAAUAGGGUUUCGGAUUUGAAUUCCGUAGGUAAUUUAAGGAAGGUAUUGCUUGUAUAGAAGUUACGCAUCUACAUAUAUGAGCUUUCCUAUAUUUCAAGCCUAGUAUGCAGCUGUUUCUACCUUGGAGAAAUUUUUCCGCUAGACUCUGAAGCUAUAGCAUUUUAGUGGUUAGGUUGAACUUGCUUUUCAAAUGCUACUAUGUGUAAGCCUUGGACAAACACAAAUUAAUUGCAAAACAAAAAACAAACACAAACUUUGGCGUAGCCUAGUUGGCUAGAGCAAUGUAGCAUUUUUUUGCAGCCAAAUGUGAAUCCCCGGCCACAUCUCUGUAGUUUAUAUUAAAUUACAAUCUUGCUCGAAUAAAAAAGAAAUUACAAAAGUGAAUCACUGGUUAUUUGCAUAUGCGGAGGGAGCAUGCAGUGUGAUGAAAAAUGCAAGUAGGGUUUCACCUUCUAUAUCAAUGGUUGACACCUCUAUUGAGAGACCUAAACCAGUCACAAUGUAGUUACAACAGUAAAUAGUUAGUUGUGGUAUUUGUGUAAUUAGUUGUAGAAGAUAAGGUCACUUAUGUAAAGAGUCUUUGUGACUAUAUAUAUCUCUGUAUACUGUCAAUUAAAAUAUGAAUGAGAAAUAUCUUUUUUAACACUUUCUACAUGGUUUCAUGGCCAAAAGCCUUCCGGCAUUCGAUCCUUCAUUUCUUUCGCUCUACUUCUCUGAUUUCUGUUCAAAUUGAUCAGCUUUCUUCGAUUGAUUUGGUAUUCUGAUCUCUGUUCUUGAUCUGUCAUGGUGUUUUUUGUCUACAAUUUCUGUCAAUUUUGAGUCGGUGAUAGAUCUGAGUUUUCUUACAAUUUCGUUGAUUUGGGGAUUUUUUGAUCGAUUUCUCUCUUUCUCGAUCGAUUUCUUGAUCGACUUCGUGAUCGAUCUUGUGUUUUCUAUCUUUGAUUCUUCCUUCUCUCUCGCAUCUUGCGCUUGUAUAUCAUGGCCUCCCCCUCUGACUCUUCGUCUCCGUCGCCAAACCCUAAUUUCUCUGCAAAUCCUCAGAACUCGUAUAUGUCUCUUACGAUCCAAAAUAUUGGUAGCAUGGUGCCAAUCAAGCUCAAACGCACUAAUUACCUUCCAUGGCGUGCGUUAUUUGCUCCGAUCUUGCGCCGAUACAAACUUCUUGGCCUCGUCGACGGUACUGAGCCAUGUCCGGCUCCCCUUCUCCCUGAUCGCUCCCUGAAUCCAGCAUUUGAGCAGUGGUUUGAAAAAGAUCAAAACCUCUUGAUUUGGCUCAACUCGACUUUAUCCGAAGAUCUCAUUCCCUUCACAGUAGGGGUGUCCACAUCUCGAGAACUUUGGCAGAAGCUUGAACAACGCUUUGGUGGCGUCUCUGAAGCUCACAUUCACCAGCUUCGUUCUCGUCUUCAAUCGAUUCAAAAAGGCUCUCAAUCGAUCUCGGAAUAUCUACAGCAAAUCAAGGAAAUUUCGGAUUCUCUCAAUGCUGCUGGCGCCACUGUACCUGAUCGUGAUCUCAUUGCUGCAACGCUUCACGGUCUUCCUGAUGAAUUCGAGUCCUUCAUUGACUCCAUCAUGCUGCGAUUGUCUUCUACUUCUCUUGAUGAAUUACAUGGUCUGUUGCUGACCAAAGAGCUUUCCAUGGCUCGUCGAAAGCAUACUCUGUCCACCACUGCUACGGAGCCCUUUCAAGCAUUCUCUGUUCAGUCUCAAGCACCUUUGCUCCCAACGCCUUCUUCACAGGCCUUUGCUGCAUAUAGUCAGCCUCUUCAAUCUUCUUCUCGGUACAAUUCUAAUAGAGGCCGGAACAAUCGUAAUUUUUUCCGAGGCAAUCGAAAUGUCAGUAAUUCACGUGGCAACUCCACUGGUACUUAUCGUCCAAGUCAGCCUCGUGCCUUUCAUCAAGGCUCCCGAUCUCACAACCAAGGUUCUUCAUCAAAUCACAAGACCACCUGUCAAAUAUGUGGUUCUACCAGCCACGAAGCAAUUGAUUGCUUUGACAGGAUGAACCCUGAGAUCUUUGGACGGGUGCCACCAGCCAAACUUGCAGCUCUUUGUGCUCACUACUCAUCCAAACCAUCCCCUUCUUGGCUAUUGGAUUCUGGAGCCACCUCCCAUAUCACGAAUGACAUUGCCAAUCUCUCUGUUGCCUCGCCUUACACUGGUGAAGACAAGGUCUAUAUAGGAGAUGGUAAAGGUCUGCCUAUUCACAAUAUUGGUAUCUCUUCUUUAGAUACAUCUCAUACUUCCUUUAAGUUGCGUAAUGUCUUACAUGUGCCUGCUAUGAAACACAACUUGUUAUCUGCCUAUCAAUUUUUAAAAGAUAAUAAUUGUGCCUUGACUCUUGACCCUGAUGGAUCCACUGUAAAGGAUCGAGUUUCGGGGAAGACGCUUUUGCGGGGACGAGUUGAAGAUGGCUUCUAUCCUCUUCAAGGCUCUGGUCAUCCCCCCUCCUCCUCACCCUCGACUUUAAUAAGUGUUAAAGCUCCUGUCCAGAUUUGGCACCGAAGAUUGGGUCAUCCAUUUUCUUCUAUUUUUCGCAAGGUUUUUUCAGGAAAUAAGCUUGUCGUGCAAGGCAAACCUGUUGGUGAUAUUUUCUGCUCAGAUUGUGCUUUAGCUAAAAGUCACAAGCUUCCUUUUGGUUCUGCCAGUUCUACACGUACUCACAGUCUUCAACUACUACACUGUGAUAUUUGGGGUCCUGCCUCCAUCACUUCUCCUAGUGGCUUUAAGUACUACUUGUUGCUUGUAGAUGAUUACAGUAGAUAUAGUUGGUUAUUUCCAUUAAAGGCAAAAUCUGAUGCCUAUUCUACUUUUGUUGUAUUCAAACAAUAUGUAGAAAAUCUACUUGGAAAUAAAAUCAAAGUUGUGCAGUCCGAUUCAGGGGGUGAAUUCAUUGGUGCUAAGUUUGAGUCUUUUCUUCACACUCAUGGUAUUCUUCAUCGAUUAACAUGUCCUCACACUCCUGAACAAAAUGGCUGUGCUGAAAGAAAACACCGCCAUAUUGUGGAAACUGCCCGUACAUUACUUGUUGCUUCUAAUGUUCCACAUCUUUAUUGGGUGGAAGCUUUUUCCACGGCUGUGUAUCUUAUUAACAGGUUGCCGAUCUCUGGCCUUUCUACAUCUCCUUGGGAAUUACUCUUCUUCAAGCCACCAGAUUACUCCAGACUCAAAGUCUUUGGUUGUCGAUGUUUCCCGUGGCUCAAACCUUACACUCAUUCCAAGCUGGAUGCUAAGAGCAAAAGUUGUGUGUUUCUCGGGUACAGUUUACAGCACAAAGGAUAUAGAUGCCUUGAUCCAGUCACUAAUCGUCUCUAUAUUUCCAGACAUGUGCAGUUUGAUGAAGCAACUUAUCCUUUUCAGUCUUCUCCUACCAUCCCUGUUCUGUCUUCAGACUCUGUUACCGCUCCCAUGGAUCUGCAGUUUUCCGUUCCUCAGCAUACUGGUGUUCCUCCUGGACACGUUGGCCAUCCUCAAGAGUCCAUUCCUCCUACUGCUGCUCCAAGUACAGAUUCUCUGACUAAUGCAUCCGUAUCUUCCCCUGCAACAACUAUGUCAUUGCCCCCUUCCAAUACUCACCCUAUGAUCACUCGCUCCAAAGCUGGUAUCUUCAAGCCCAAAGUUUAUGCAGCUACCAAACAUCCUCUUCCAUCUGAUAUUGACUUUAUUCCAACUACAUAUCUGCAAGCCUCUAAACAUGCUUAUUUGAGGUCUGCCAUGCAAGAUGAGUUUAAUGCAUUACAAUCAACAGGUACCUGGACCCUUGUUCCUCCAUCUUCCUCCUACAAUGUGGUUGGCUGCAAGUGGGUGUUCCGAAUCAAGAAGAAACCUGAUGGUACUGUUGAGCGCUUUAAAGCUCGUUUAGUUGCAAAGGGGUAUCAUCAGCAGGAAGGUAUCGAUUUUCAAGAGACCUUCAGUCUUGUGGCUAAACCAGUCACCAUUAGAAUCCUUUUGUCCCUUAUUGUGCAGUUCAAUUGGUUUCUACAUCAGUUAGACAUCAGUAAUGCCUUUCUUCAUGGUGAUUUGAAGGAAGAUGUGUACAUGCAGCAGCCUCCCGGUUUCUCUGAUCCUACUAUGCCACAUCAUGUCUGCAAAUUAAGGAAAUCCCUUUAUGGUCUCAAACAAGCCCCUCGGGCUUGGUUUGACAAACUGUUUCAAGCUCUUCUUCAGCUUGGUUUUCAGCAAUCUUCCUCCGAUGCUUCCUUAUUUGUUCUUCCUGGUCCUACUCCUGUCAUGGUGCUUGUGUAUGUCGAUGAUAUCUUAGUCACUGGACCUGACUCUUCCUUAUGCCAUCUCUUCAUUCAAAAUCUCAGUGAUAUUUUUCCAGUUAAGGAUUUGGGUCCACUGCACUAUUUCCUGGGUUUAGAGAUUCAACGAUCUUCCACAGGUCUCUUCCUCCAUCAAACAAAGUAUUUACUUGAUCUUCUCCGGAAAACUAAUAUGGCUGGUGCGAAGCCUUGCUGCACUCCCCUUGGCUCUAACAAAUUGGAUCACAGUGGUCCUCUUUUCUCUAAUCCAACUGAGUAUCGAUCCAUUGUUGGUGGUUUACAGUAUUUGACAUGGACACGUCCUGAUAUUUCGUUUGCUGUGAAUCAAAUAUGUCAGUUCAUGCAUGCUCCUCGAGACCAACACAUGCAAGCUGCCAAACGAAUUCUUCGUUAUCUCAAGGGUACUGUAUCUGAAGGUCUAUGGUUCAGACAGGAUGCCACUAAUCUCACAGCCUUCUCCGAUGCAGACUGGGCUGGCUGUCUAUUUGAUCGCCGUUCUACUAGUGGUUACAAUGUCUUUCUCGGAUCCAAUCUUAUCAGUUGGAGUGCCAAGAAACAGGCUACUGUGGCACGGUCAUCCACAGAGGCGGAAUACAGAUCUCUAGCCCACACUGCAGCUGAACUGACUUGGAUCUGUAAAAUUUUUCGUGACCUUGGUUUUCCUCUCUCUCAGGCUCCCACUCUCUGGUGUGAUAACAUUUCAGCCAUCUCUCUUGCUUCUAAUCCGGUCUUUCAUGCCCGAACUAAACACGUGGAGAUUGACUAUCAUUAUAUUCGCGAGUUGGUCUUAGCUAAUCUCAUCAAGGUUCACUUUGUUUGUAGUCAGGAUCAGCUCGCUGACAUACACACCAAGUCUCUGUCCAAAGGUCGAUUUGCUGCUCUAAAAUCCAAGCUUCCUCUUGGUUCUUCCAUUGAUCCCGAGCUCAGCUUGAGGGGGUGUAUUGAGAGACCUAAACCAAUCACAAUUUAGUUACAACAGUAAAUAGUUAGUUGUGGUAUUUGUGUAAUUAGUUGUAGAAGAUAAGGUCACUUAUGUAAAGAGUCUUUGUGACUAUAUAUAUCUCUGUGUACUGUCAAUUAAAAUAUGAAUGAGAAAUAUCUUUUUUAACACUUUCUACAACCUCUCUCUCUCUCAUCAAAUAUAGAUUUUUGAUCUAAGAGAAAAAUGAUUCCAGGCUGCAGGAUGAGUUGCUGUGAACGGAUCACCAUCAUUGUUUAUUAUUCUACAACCCUUCACCCUUUUCGAAGGCAAGAAGAGCUCCUCACAGUGAACAGCACAGGGCGGUGGUGAACCUCCAAUGCUAACUUGGCGAUCAAGGUUCCCAUGAACUGACGAGGACCUCACCAUUUUCUUCAGCUUGGUAACUAAAUUGACAAGCUUCUCCAUCCUCGACCUCUUAAUCUUUCAUUAAUCUCAAAUCCUCUUGAAGAAGCUUAUAUGUAGAAUUGGCGGAGUUGAAAGGAGUUGAUCAAAGUGUGGUGGCAUCACACGGAUUUCGUGCAAGCUUGUACAAGAUGAGCGUGGCAUUUGUAAGUUACUUGCGUUUUCUUUCUGUUAUAGGCUUAGAGCUCACAUGCCUUGUCAUUUUGUUGCAGCUUUAGCUUUGAGGAGGAUAUGUUACGUUCACUUUGUUAGAGAGUAAGGAUUUGUUGGCUUCUUAUAUGGCAUGAAAAUUCUGGAUCUGUUAUACUUAUGCACGUCAAGGAGUCAUAUUUACAAUACUUACAUGUAUUUAAUGCCGCUGCCAUCUUGAUAGUCAUAUGAUGAUUGAAUUAAAUACAUAUAUUAGCAUGAAUUAUAUAUAUCUAUCAAAUGAUAAUUAUAUUAAAUAGUAAAUACAUAUAAGUGUUGUAACCAAUUCUGAAAAGUCUUAAUACAAAAUCAGGGUUGAAAAACAAAGAAAAAAGAGACGUUAAAUGAGAAAGGAAGGCCAAAAAAUUAUUGCUUGUGUCACUUUUUUUUUAAAGGAAAACUAAUGAAAAAGGCUAAAAAACUUUUAGUUUUAACGAUAAGGACAAAAUAAAGGAUAAAGUGAAUAGUAGCAUAAUUGACUUUUUAAUGUAAAAAUAUGGUUUUUCGUUAAAGUGAACAGUACCAAAAAAUUUUCAUUAAAGUUCCAUUUUUUUAACCUCUUCAUUUCGCUUGUGGGUGCAAAACCUAGUAAAAUAUUGAAUUUAAAUGGUAAAUGGUAAAUGGCUAAGUCAUUAGCACUUCGAUUUAGUAAGAUAUGAGUAAGUCAAAUAAAAAACCCGUUGGAUAUCAAUUAUGAUUGAUCCAUUACGUGGCUUAUUCAAAUUCUAACCCAGUGUAACAAUUACUAUGCUAACCAUAAAUAAAUGCCAUUUGAAGAGGAACAUUUUUCUUCAUAGUCAUAGCCCUAGGCCAUAAACUCAUAGCAUUUAAUUAAUUUUUAUGCGAAUUGAAAUCUGAUAAUACAUUUUUAUUCCCUUAUUGGUCCAAUCUCUUGUGAACAAAUAAUAAAGAGCAAAAUACACCAAUAAAAUUUCGUAAGAAACCAGGGCCAGCUGACGUGUAAAUUUCUGAUUGGCCCUCACACGUAGCUCACCCAGCCCAAAAACCAGAAGAAAAUUCACUGGGGGUUUCGUCUUCACUGAUUAGCACAACAAAACCUCAGAGAGAGAGAGAGAGAGAGAGGGAGAGAGUGAGAGUGUGUAAGAGAGAGAGAGAAUGAGAGAGAAUCAAUUUCGAGCAGUCCCAAUCAUCUUCUUGUUUUUCUUCGUCUUCAGUGUCUGUGAUGCACUAUACGGACCAUCAUCGCCAGUUCUUCAGCUAACUCCUUCCAACUUCAAGUCCAAGGUAAAUGUUGAAACUUUACCAGUAAUUGCGCGUACCCUUUUCAGAUUCUUCAGUUUUUUGCAUUAAUCUAUUGGAAUUUGUCACCGUUUGGAUUGAAAAGCACUUGGGCGUUGAUUGGGUUUUUCAAUUAAGAAGCGAUUGUUUUGCUGUUGAAAGCAAAGUGCUUUCUUGUAUUGCUUUUAGAGUUUUACUGCUUACGGAGAUCAUUAGUUUUUGGAUCUGGUUUAUUGCUUCUUGGGGAUAUUUGUUUCGGAAAAAGUAAGUUAAUUUUGCACUUUGUGGAAAUUGUUUGAUAAAUUUGCUGAGUUUAAUGUACUUGUUUUUCGUUUCCCAGCAUAGAAAUGUGAUCAGUGAGUUCUGAUCCUUAUUGGGCUAAUUAUGAUUUCUAGUAAGACAAUUUGACUGGUAUUUUCUUGAACUGAAUCCUGUGGAAUGGUGGCAGGUUCUGGACUCAAACAGAGUUGUUCUGGUUGAAUUCUUUGCACCGUGGUGCGGACAUUGUCAGGCUCUUACACCGAUAUGGGAGAAAGCGGCUACUGUCUUAAAGGGUGUGGUUGCCGUGGCAGCUCUUGAUGCUGAUGCACACAAGUCCCUCGCUCAGGUUUCCCAUGGUUACCCUUGCAAUUACUAAUUUUGACUUCUAAGUUUGAAGUAGCAAUUGUAGAUUAACAUCCCUCUGCCUGAAAAUAUGUGGUCAACCAUAUUAUUGUUUUAUAAAACUUCCCCACUGUAUGAUAGUUUUGCCAUAUUUGGACAAGGAAUAUGAGUAUUUCAGGUUGUUUACUAAUAUAUUAAUUUUGUGUGGGGGUGUUGGUGUGUUUGAUUGCUCUAUAGGAAUAUGGGAUUAGAGGAUUUCCAACAAUAAAGGUGUUUGUACCCGGAAAGCCUCCAGUUGACUAUCAGGGAGCAAGGGAUGUGAAACCCAUUGCAGAAUUUGCACUCCAACAGGUUCGCCGUAAUCUCUUCUUCAAAUUCUAUUUGUUUUGUUAGUUCGUUUCUUUUCUUGUAUAUUGGUUAAAGUAGAGUUUGGUAACAUUCGUGGAUUAAGGUAGUCUUAUAUUGUUUCUGCUCCACUAUGUCUUACCUUGCUCUAUUACUUAGUCAUGGGAUACGUAGAUGGUUAUAAUCAUAUCUCACUCGGUCAUAUAAUGCUCUUGCAUAAAACGGAUUCAUGUAUCAGUAAUGUGACCAUUCCAUUGGCCCUGUACAGAUAAAGGCGCUGUUGAAAGACCGCUUAAGUGGAAAAACAACAGGAGGAUCAAGCGAAAAAUCUGAACCUAGUGCUUCGGUAGAAUUAAAUUCCCAGAAUUUUAAUGAACUGGUGCUUAAAAGUAAAGAUCUCUGGAUUGUGGAGUUCUUUGCACCUUGGUACGUGCUUUUCUUUAUGACUAUCUUAUAAGCUAAUUUUAAAAUAGUGAUCUGUUUGUCUAUUAUAUGAAUAUGAGAUUGUAGAAGAUUAUGGACUUGUUCCAAAUUUCCUUGUUUCAAGGUGUGGGCACUGCAAAAAAUUGGCACCUGAGUGGAAGAAGGCCGCUAAAAACUUGCAGGGGAAGGUGAAGUUGGGACACGUUGACUGUGAUGCAGAGAAGGUAACUUUGCCUUCCUGACUAUGUACUGGAUCUACGUGUUUUUAUGUCUUGUACUAUAUGGUUCUAACUUGGUGGCAUUACCAGUCUCUGAUGAGCAAGUUCAACGUUCAAGGAUUUCCGACCAUAUUGGUAUUUGGAGCUGACAAAGACAGCCCACUCCCCUAUGAGGGUGCAAGGAGUGCUUCAGCCAUUGAAUCAUUUGCUCUCGAACAAUUGGAAACAAACGUUGCACCUCCUGAAGUGACCGAGCUAACUGGCCCAGUAAGUGUUUACUUCCCUCCAAUACUUAAGCUGUGUGAGAUUGUAAGUAACCUAGGGGACUAAAGCAUUGCCGCAAUCUUCUCUUGUAGGAUGUCAUGGAAGAGAAAUGUGGUUCAGCUGCCAUCUGUUUUGUGGCUUUCCUACCUGAUAUUUUGGAUUCCAAGGCAGAAGGGAGGAACAAGUACAUUCAGCAGUUAUUAUCCGUUGCGGAGAAGUUUAAAAGAAGUCCAUACAGGCAAGUUUUUGGAAUUAUGCGCAUAUCACCGCCAAUGAAACCUUGCGCGUUUGAGAGGUGAAUAUAUAGUUACUGACCAUGAAUGUACAUGUAUGUUGCAGCUUUGUGUGGGCAGCAGCUGGUAAGCAGCCAGACCUCGAGAACCGAGUGGGUGUCGGUGGUUAUGGAUAUCCAGCAUUGGUGGCCUUAAACGCAAAAAAGGGAGCUUACGCACCACUUAAGAGUGCAUUCGAGGUUGAUCAGAUCACGUAAGUUUUCUAUCUCCACCUUAUCUCGAACCACUCUUGAUCCUUGUGAUAAUAAAACAAAUUAGAACAACUCAAUUUUGUUUCACAGAGAAUUUGUGAAGGAAGCCGGGCGCGGAGGAAAGGGAAACUUGCCCCUGGAGGGCACCCCGAACAUUGUGAAGAUCGAACCCUGGGAUGGUAAAGACGGAGAGAUAAUUGAAGAGGACGAGUUCUCCCUUGACGAACUAAUGGGAGAAGAUACCACUAACAAGGAAGAGUUGUGAGAAAUUUAAAGUAUCAUACUACAGCAGGAGAAUUAUAUCAGGCUAAGAUUGAUUUUGGGUGCUGGUCAUCCCAGUGUUUCUGUGUUUAAACGAUGUUUUCAACAACGCACAAGAGCUUUCUUGUGAGCGAGGCUCUCUUUUGUUCUCUUGUUUGUUACCAUUACUGUGCGUCAUUUCAUAGCAAUGCAGUGUUUAGGUACAAUACUCUUGUUGGUUUCCAGAUUGACAAAUCACUGGUUUUUGAUUGGUGUCCAAGCCAUGGAUGCCCAAUUCAUCCGGCGCAGGUGGCAUUUUAAAACGAGAAAAUAUUCAGUAGGGCAGCGUGACCAGAGCCUGGUCACUCUCAAAGAGGAUGGGUUCGUCGUGCCGCAUACAAUGCGGCCCGUUCCUCUGUGAGAGUGCAUGAAAUGGUUCUCUCUCAAAACAUCACGACUAAUCAAUAUUCAGAAAUUAUGAAGGGCAAUAUAUGGGGAGAGACUCCACUCUUGCAUAUCAUUGAAAAUUUGAAAUCCAAAAUUUUGCAGCUUGUAAUUAUCCAUUGGAUUCCAAAUCCAGAAGGGAAGAAAAAAAGGGUCAAAAUGCAUCACAUUUUAACUAUGUGGUACCUAAUCCCUCGUAUCGGAUCCACAGAGACGCGAAUACAUGCCUUAGCGUAUACGUGUACACUCCUUUUCCCGUCUUCUCUGACCAAAAAAGCAAAGUACAUCCCCUUCUACCCAAUUCAGAAUUUCUUUCGUUGAAGUUCUGGGAAAAAUAAGAUGCGCUGUUUACCAUUCGCCCUUGAUCCUCGCUAAGCAUUCUUUUCUCAAAGGUGAAUCUGCAAAUAUGGCCUUGAUAAAAUCCUCUACCUGAAAAAUUGGAGGAGCUUGUAAGAACAUUGAGACAUGAACAGCACAUAAAGCUGAACAGAAUAUAUGUGGUCAAGUGAAAUCAUGCCUCAUACUAAGUUACUAACAGAAAUGAAAUCAUACCUCUGACGACGUAAAACCACAAUUGCGCAAUUCUCCACUUUCCCAAGCCGUUGUGAUAGAUUUUAAGGGCAUAUCUAAUAAUUCUGAAGAAUUUGAAACACAAUGAGAAUUAGGUCACUGUUUGCAAGACAUCUACUAGUUCUGUACUGAAUCACACUGAACUUUCAGCAUCAGACGAAAUACAUGCCUGCCAAUUUACGAAUUUUAUAUAACGAAGGUAUGUCAUCGUCAAGGGUGCAAGUGAUGCCCUCUUGGGACUUCUCUACUUGGAGAGCAGCCAGGGACUCCAGCAAAGAAAUUAGGCUCUCCAGCAUCAAAUGAAUCAGACUUUGAAGCUAGGAACAUAAAUACAUCGUUUUAGUUAGACACCAAGCAUCAGAAGUACAAAAACUGGAUAUAUGACCAAAGAUUAUACCUGUAAUGUUUCUUCUGCUGCCAUAUCAUCUAAAAGGAGUAUGUCUUUUAUGACCCUAGAAAAAACCGAUUCAAGAAUCAUACACAUGCUUCUCUUGUAAGUUGAAGGCAACAGGAUCGGCUCCCAUAUCAAACGUACUUUGUCCACAAUCAAAACAACCUGAACAAGAUAUGUUUAGCCUUACAGACAUACCUCGCAAGAAAAACUAAGGUACUAAAAAUAGCUUAACAAAUAUAUCAAAUAUAAUAUGAUUCAUGAAACAAAAGUUCCUCGUUAAAAUUCACAGCAGGCCACCUGAUCUAUACUCCAACUUGCAGAUUGAAAUUGCUGCCUUUCAUGGGUAUUCUGAAAUCCAUCAGCACCAUCUAGAGCCUGGUAAAAGACAAUUUAUUGAAGUUAAAUAAGAAACUACAAUUCUCUAAACUACAUAACUUUCUAGCUCUUAUAUGAAUUGAAACAUUUCAGCACAAUUAUACCUCUCUCAAACUACGAAUAACAUGUUGAAUUUGUCUCUGAAGUACUUCCUCUGCCAUAAGAUGGAAUCUUGGAGCCAUAUCAACAAACAUAGCAUGUUCUUUGAUGGAACUUGGAAAGUCUGAGCGAUACUGGGACAAAAGAGUACAACCGUAUGAAUUCCACUACUUAUUAUAACUUCACAAGCAGUAUGGAUUUAAUGAAUUCCACUAUUAACAGAAUAGCAAAUCAUCAUUCUGUUGGGAUCGAAGUUAGGUAUCAUAUAAAUAGUGAACUGUCAUUAUUUGGUGCAAUAUUCGGACAUACAUUUUUUUUAUUGGAUAGUGGUACACGAUACAAGAGUCAUUAUAGGUGCAAGCAUGCAUGUGAUCUUGGUGAUGGUGGGGAAUAGAAUCAACAAAAUAGAUAACAUGAGCCGAUUAUGACUGUUCAUCGCCUACCUCAAAAGCAAGCCCCAGUAUCUCCUGAGAUAGAUAAAGGCAAUCAUUGUGCAUAAGAACAGCAACCUGGUUGAUUACAUCAAGAUGCCUUUCUAGCUUCACAAGUCAAGAGAGAAGAUUACUUAUACUCCAUGCAAAAAUCACCAAUAUUGAUGAAAAACUGAGGUGAAAAUAGGCCAGAAAGUAAACUUGAUAGAGAUUUGCCAGAGCUGAGAUAUGAUGUUAAGUUAAUACAUGGAGAAAAAUACUGCAACUAAAAUAUUAAAAUGAUUUUUGUGGUUCAUAAAAAAAGGACAUAAAAACAUCAUCAGAGACCUCUUUUGUAUCUUUCAUGAAUAAACCUUAGAAAGGAACAGAGAGAAGGACGCCGGGGUCUCAAAAAAAUUAGUACAAUAGACAACAUCAUGGGACAGACGUAACAUCACACCUGCACUUUUUAGAUUGUCUUAACAAAGGUGUAAAAACAGUCAGUAUCUAAAAUUUAUAGUACUGGUUUCCUGUUCUAACCUUGACAGGAACCACGACUUCAUAGAGAAGUAGAGCAUCCCUAGCAGCCUGAUAGAACUCCAAAGCAACUCUGGGGGAUGACAUGCAAACAUCCUACACAUUCCAAUCACAGUUGUAGCCAUAAAAUAUAACAAAUGGUAAUUUAUACGAAGAAUCGAGAGGCAAGAAAACUGAAACUCGAGGAAAAAUGCAUUAAUCAUGAAAAUGAAAUCUCAAAUGCAAGCACUAAUUAGUGCCUUGAGGCUAGCAGGUUGCUCGUCAACUUAAGGUUUCUUUUCUAUUUUACUACAUCAUUAAGGGGAAAAAUCAAACAUUUAUGAGUUUUAACCCAGAUACCUUAAGUGUCUGGUGCACUAGAUUCAUUAGUUCAAUCGCUGCUUUGGACACCACACACUUCCCAGACAGGAAUAGCAAGUUAACAAGCUCUGGAGAUUUGGCAGCAUCCAGAUCAUUCUUGUUAUUCCUUGGAUACUCCUGUGGGAAAAAUAUAUUGUUCAAAGGCUGGAAAUAUCAAAAUAGCUACAAAUGCAUUCAAGACAGUUAUAGAAGCUUACUUGAGGAGCAGAAAAAUCACAUUGUAGAAGUAGAUUUCUGGCUUUUGCCAAGAUCUCUGACUUCUUCCUGGAUGCAAAGUGAACCUCGACAUUUUCAGCAAAAUUGCUCAACUGGUUAUCUCUGUUAUCAGAUGCUGAAAUAAACUUCAUUUCCCUUAAAGCAGUCUCAAAUUCGGAAGUACAACUAAUGAUCUUAAGAAAGUCAGCAAGUUUUGAAGCAUCUUCAGGAACAACCUGAAACAAAAAACAUGUCUCCAUUACAUAGACGUACAAAAUGAUAAAUGGCAUGAUGCAAGUAGCAAUUUUAAUGCAGCUAAUGAAGAAGUAACUUUGAGUAUUCACCGAAAAUCCUAUACUUGUUUGCUAACAUAUAUUUAUAACAGAAUUCAAAAAAAAAAAAACAAAUAGAAAAGAAUGGAUGGGUGCGAAGAGAUAAAAGGAAUAACCUUAGAGAGAAAUUUAGAAAUAAUUAACUCUGAAAUCCUUGGCCAUGUCAAUCUCCCAAAGCAUCGAAUCCAAGACUCAUCUUGAAGGCAGAUGUAGUUGCUAAUAAACUUGAUAACCUGAAUAAUCCCUGAGUAGAUAGUCUCACCAUCCAUUUUUUCAAUCUGAAAAUCCAAAGGAAAAUGCCAAUGCAACACUUAUUGGAAUCCAAUGAGUACAAAUUUGUGGAAUACCCCUUAUUGAAUUGAUAACUAAAGGAGUCACUCCCGCGAAUCAAUAAUAUAUGAUAAUUUAAAGUGAACCCAAUUUUUUUUCUCAAACAUGUAUAAGACAAACCGUUGAACAAUAAGACUGUGAAAAAUAUUUAGACAAGAUUGACACGUAAAAACUACCUUAGGAUCAUUUGAUGGUACAAUGUUCAGUAUCGCCUCAGUCAGAACUUGUGAGUCUCGAUUUACUUCAGCUACAAAGGACACAGGAACUCCAAAAUUUAGAGCCGAGGAGAUGACAUGCUUGAUCAUCAAGUCGCCAACUUUACCAAGACCAUAAUCCAAAAUGCCGACUACCUAGAAAUCCCCAUAACAAAACCAGAUAACUGAAUUCUUUACAAACCCCAUUGCUCUCAUUAUUUUAAGCAAAAAUUAUUUGAAUUGCAAAUUUCAUGUAGUUUUGAGCAAUGCAUCUACUUGUACUGAUUUCAAAGGCAAGGGGAAGGAACAAAAGAUAUUAACUUCAACUUACAUUCAAAGCUUCCAAAACUGUGCGGAGCUCAAACCCAUCGUUUCCGUCAAUGCUAAGUACAUACUUGACACAGAUUCUAUUCGAUUCCCGCUCAAACCGCACCGCAUUUCUGAUGAACAUCACAAGCACUUCUUGAAUCUACAAACCCAAACUGAAUUCCUCUAAAAAAUACAAUCACAAACUCAAAUAAAAAUCACCAAUUAAACAACCACAAUAGCAUUUUUUUUAUGAACUAGCUAUUUAAAUUUCUCUCAUUUCCGUUCAUUUUCUCGGCAACCAAACAGAAAGUAAGCUUCUUUACCUCCUCAAAGCACUCUGACCACUCCUUCCUCAGCAAUCUGUACACCACAGGCUCUCCCUCAUCAACCCGAUCAUCAUCCGAAACCCUAAGAGCAUUCUUCAGCUCCCUCAGCUCCUGGGCGGCGAACCUCAGCCGUCCAUUCCUCAACCCCUCACUGGCGCCCUUCAACCUUUCACUUAUUUCCAGAAUUGCCCUCACCAACUCCAACAACGCCUUCUUCUCCCUCGCCUCUUUCGUCGUGGCGCUCAUCUGCUUCAUAAUCUGCCCAAUCUCCGCCUCAAUGGGGCGGUUGGAAAUUGAACUCAGAAGCCGGACGACGUCGUCGGAAAUUUGGUUGGAGCGCGAAACGGCGUCGUUGCAGACGGAGAAAAGGUUGGCGAAAUCCUGGUGGUGAGAGAGGAGGUAAGAUUGGAUUUUGGACUUGAUUUGGAGCGAGUGGGAGUCGAGGCGUUGGAUGAGGAGGCGGAGAUCCGGCGCAGACAGAGGGGUCGUGGGGUCGCUGAGGUCCUGCGCCGACAGGAGCUCUCGGACGUUGAUUGAGUCGAACAGGGCGUCCAUUUCCGGCGGAUCGGACGGCUGGGACUGCCGGUUGGGGAGACUCGGUCGGAGGAGUGUAUUUUGUAUCGGAGUGGUGGAUGAAGAACGAAGAGAUGGGACUGGCGGAGGUUUUAGGCGGAGUGUGAUAACGUGCGCCGGGAGCGUUGGUGUUGGGUUUUGGGGCGGGCUGUUAUUACUCGCGGGGAAUUAUUUUUGUUCUUAUAUGGGCCUACUAUGGAAUAAUGGGCUGACUUUGAGUUUCAAAUUUAAAGAUUCAAAUAUAGCCGAAGCCCAAAACCCAACUUUUCUUUAAUCGAUCCUACGUACACUGUGUGACGAUUGUUCUUUUUCCUUUUUAUUCAACAAACGAUAUUAUUCAUAGGGCGGGGGAUUAGGUACAAUUAUCCCGGGAGUGGGCACAAUGAGUUAAUAAUAAUGCAGUUCAAAUUCAUUUUUCACGAGAAUUAACCAAAAACUCCUCACUUAUAAAUAAAGAGAAAUACUACUGAACUAUAAUAUUAAGUAGCAUAUACAAUUAAAUGUUGGAUGUCAACAAUAACCGACUAAUCCUCCAAGGAGAAUAGCAUUUAUAACAAAGUGCUUCUCUAAAACCCUUCUAUUCGAGGAUAAAUUUUUCAAUAUUCUAGAAACACGGUCCUGUAUACCAAGUGACAUAACAUAAGUUGUUGAAAAGAAAAAAAAAAUUUAAGUCUCCAACCACUUGUGUUAUGACACUCUAAAAAUAUAUUCCAACCAUCAAUCAUGAGAUUUUCUUGUUCUGAUGUCUAAAACGUUCCAAUUAAACUACUCGUAAGCAGUUGGAUUCUUCUAAUGUGCAACAUUCUAUAUAACAAAGUUUGUCCCUUAAUAGGGUGUCGUAAGAUGCCUCUUUCUGCCUUCUGCCCAUUAUUCAUUAAAAUAUUUCAAAUAGACAACGACCUAAAAGGUUGACCAUUAUACUUUUGCCUAAAACAAGAGUUUAGUCGAUACAAAACAUCAUCCUUUUCCUUUUUUUUUCUAUAAGCAUCAUCCUUUUCCUUGCUAACAAGUAACAAUUAACUAUGAAAGAUUCCUCUUCCUCUUCCUCUUCUCCCAUUCUGUUUAGUUUCCACAUAAUUAUUAAGUUUUUUCCAUCGUACUCAAAAGGAAAAGGAGAAGAAAGAAGCAUCAGAGGAAACUUGGCACUCUCAAGUUUCAAACGUACAACAGUCGGUCAUACUUUUGUGUCUGUUGACUGCAUUGGUCCAUCUUCUAUUCAACGCUGAUGAACAAUUGACCCUUGACCCUUUCAACUUCAACCCCAUUAACCUACAGUCAUCCUAUUUUAUUCUAGACUUUAGUUAAAUUGAUGACUAAAUUAUUAAACAAAGACUAAGUCUUUUUUGUUUUUUAGUUUUUUAGUUUUUUUGUUUUCUUGUUUUUUGUUUUGCUUAGAUACUCGUGGACAUCGAAAUAACUUAAUUUUGAAAGUGUACGAAUUUAUUAAAAUAUUAAUUUGUGUGAAAGAAUCUAAUCUAAGUUAAACUUCUUAAUAAUCAAGCAAACGAUAACAGAAAAACAAGCAAAUUGUUUCUGCAGAUGAAUUGAACACUAAAAGUUUCACAACUUAAGCAAAAAUAUAUAGAUCAUUUACAAGAGGAACUUCAUUAAAUAAUCCAAAAUUCAGCACUAAAUUGGAUUAUUGGAACUUAAAUCCAAACUAAUCCAACCUAGUAAAACAAUCUUGGAAAAAAAAAAUGAUACUAAUGAAAUGAAAAACCCAAAUGGCAGAUGAAGCCAUUAAUCCCAAUUGCUUUUUUAACAAGAUGGGUAAUGUACACAAAGGGGAAACAAUUUAAGGAUUAAAUCUAACACCAAAAGGAAUUAUUGGUACCUGGAAACUUAUCUGUGUUGAGGAUAACCCUAACCCUAAUUCCAAAGACCCCAAAUCUUGUCCCCAAUGGAACUCACCAGCCUCCUCAUGGUCCCCCUAUCCACUCCAACCUCACAACCUUCAUCAUCACCAGACUCACCACCACUUAUCACUUCAGCAGCAACAACACCAGCGUCCACCACUUGUGGGCCCUCCUCCACCUCCUUCUUGUCCCCAUGCCCUAAUUCCCCAAAUCCCAGAUGAUCACCACUGCUCUUGUUAGCCUUCCUUCUCUCUUUCUUCACCUUUGAGUUUCUGCUCCUCUUCUUCUCCACCAACCUCUCCUCAUAAGCCUCAAGGAUUUCAUGGAUCAGCUGGCGGUUCGGCGAAGCGUCCCACCGUGCCCAAAAACUCAUAUAGCACCUGAAGCAGUCGCACUGGAACGUAGGAGGGUGGUGGGACUGCGGCCCACCAGCUUCGACGCCAACCCUGUUGUGCUUCUGGUGUGCCUUGUGGCCGCCAUAUGUGUUAUCCACGUUGGAGUUGUGUGACUCGAUACAAGUUAUGGAUGUUACCUGCGACGGCCCUGUGGCCGGUGCACGAUUGGACUUAGUAGUAGUAGGCCCACGCUGGUUCGUUGCGCAACCGCCUGAGUUUUUGGUGCAGGAGAUGAGGUAGGCCAAGACCUCUUGGUCUUCGGGGGAGAGGGAUAUGGCCAAGGCGAGGACGGUUGCCGGAAGAAGGGCCAGAGGGUCGGCUACGGAGGGCGGCGAAGGUGACGGGUGAACUUUGCCUUUCUUGUUGUAGAGCUUAUUCAUGUUGGUUGUUGGAAGCGUUGUUCUUUCUUUCUUCUUCUGCGACUUAGCUUUUUGCUUGCGGAAAGAAAAUGAUUUCGUUAACUUUGGAGUCGGCUGUCUUUAUAUCUCGACUACUUGUUCCGUGGGGGAUACGAAUCUAAAAUCUAGGAACACACGUGGCAACUGUAAAAUUGCGGAUUAGAAGAUUUUCUUCUUCUUUUUUAUAAUAUUUUAUUAUAUUUUUAAAUAAUUGAUAUUAGUUAUUUAAAUCUUAGUUCUUGAUGCUUCUGCGUUUCAUUGUGGACCAAUAAUAGUUGGCAUGAAAAUUAUUUGCUAUGUCCAUGAAUGAUUGACGGUAAUAAAACUCAAAUUUAAAUUAAACAUUGGGUUUUUAUUGUGCAAUUAAGUUGUCUUAUUUCAUGCCACUUAAUACUACAGCUUAUGAAUAUUUUUUUUUUACUUGUAAGUGAAGGUCUUAAGUUAGAUUUUCAUCAAAGACGAAAUUGAACCACAUUAUUACUAUCUUAUUAUGAGGCUAAGCAUAUCCUCUCCUUUUUAGUGUAGAUAAUAUUGUUUGUUAAAAAAAAUUGUAUUAUUUCAUUGCCAAGUAAAUAAAAUGUGAUCAAAGCAGCCGUAUUAAUUAAAAAAUUAGCAAAAUUGUUGAAAACUUGUCGAACAUUCUUGUAUUUACUAAUUUCCGUUGUGUGGAUAAGUUUUAGUUUACCUGGAACAAGUACAAAAGCAAUAAAGAAAAGGUGGGUAGAUCAUUUUGAUGUUCAUUUGGACAUUAUUCUAGCUUAGCUAGGAAAGAUCUAGAACCAAGUGCAUGCAUAAUACGCAGUGUGGUGACAUUUUCAUUUUAUCCUACGUAUUUCCCACCCUUUUGUUUCAAGCAAAGGCCAUUGACAAUCCUUACAUGUCGGCUUGUCAUAACAUUAUUUAACUUCUAAGAAGAAAAUUUGAACUCUCGAAACUUUAUCUUAUCUAAUUAAAAUAGUCAGUACAAUUUAAUAGUAAAUAAGCACGUUAAUCUGUAUUAUCCGACGAGUAUUUAUCUUAUCCGACUGAAAUAGUCAGUACAGUCCGAGCUGUCAAACGAGAUCUUAGUAUAUAUCAUUUUUGUCCUUAAUUAUUUGCAAAAAAUAGUAUCAAAUACACGAGUUGUAUUAUCUAUGUAUGAAUUUUUUGGGUAAGAUACUAAAAUUUAGUGAUAACAAAGGCAUGUUGUUGGGGUCAUAAGCAUGCAUUGCUCUCACCCUGCCUCCGCUAGUGAUUCCACUGGCAUAGCACGCCACCGAUCGAUGAUACCUCGAAUCCUGUCAAUCACAAAAUAAUUUGAUGUUCAACAAAGGUUAGUCGUAGGGGCGGAGCCACUAAGAGAUCAAGCUGGUCUUAGGCCUAUCCUGACCAUUGUGUAAGAAAAUUUUAGCAAUCAAGCAUGCAACUGUGGAACCGUAAGACAUGAAGAAAAAGAUGAAUUGUCCUCGUGAAGAAGUUGAGUUAAACAACAUCAUUUCUUAUAUUUUUCUAACAAUUUUGUUUGUUUGGUCUUUGUAGUUUAGUGAAACGAUGAGUUUAGGGAGGGAGUUUUAAAAUCGACUUUAAUGUUAUUCUAAAGCAAUCUAAUCAACUAUUAUUUGUAGGGAUAAUGCUAGGGAGACCAAAAUUUUAAACUAAAUUUUGUAAAUCAAAUGGUGUAGUUGUUGAUGAUUGAAUUAUUACUUAACUGUUGAUUAACAUUUUAAUUUUCUAUGGAUGACACAUCAUUUAAUUUGCAAGUUUAAUUUAAAAUUUUGGUCAACCUAGCAUUACCCUAUUUGCAACUAUCCUUUUUUUUUUUUUUGUCAAACAAUUCAAAUCAGAUUUCCUUGUAUUUUCUUUCUAUAAUGCCAAUUUUUUUACUAGUUGCUUGAUAUCUACCUCCCACUUAAUUGUAUUGGACAAUUAUUUUGAUUCUCUCUAUUAAAUUUAAUGGUUCUUGUACACUAUGUUUGGAUGAGGGAAAUAAAAUUGGAAUUUGGAUAAAAGUCAGAAUUUAUAAAUUGACAUGCACCAAUUCCCUUGUUUGGAUUUAUAACACAGAAAUUUAGAAUUUCCGCUUGAAAAAAAAACUUGAAAUUUAGGGCCUCCAAUUUCCAAGUUUAAAUUCCAUGUAAAUAUGUGUCAUUUCCCAAUUUCUAUGAUUGGGAGUUUAAAAUUAACAAAUUCCGUUUUCAAUUCCAUUAUUCUUUUAAGUUAACCAAACAACAAAAUUCACAAAUUCUAGAAAAUAAAAUCCCUUCAUUUCAAUUUCCGUCAUUUUAAAAUUUCUUAGUAAUCUUAAAUUUCUUCAUCCAAACAUAGUGUUAGUUUUGUGAAGAUUAUCUCAAUUGCUCAUGUUAUGAGUUUGAAUUUUUUUUCUCAAUACCUAUAUGAAAGACCCUUCGCCCCCCUAUCAUAUAGAAUUCUGACUCUGCCAUAAUCACUAGUAAACCAUAGUAUAACAUAGAUGCAAUAAUUAGCACUCUAAAAAAGUUAUCAUGCAUGCAUGCCACUGUAAUUAGUUUUAGAAAGAAAGAGGGGAGGAAUGCAAGAUGAUUUGCUUGAAGUAUGUCACUAGUAAUAUGAUCCAACGAUAUUCUCUCUCAUUUCUAAGUGAGAGGCAUGGAACAAAAAAGAAUCUCAAAAGUCCAAAAGAUGACACGUGGGUUUUUCUUGGAAUUCUGUUUUUCACUCUAGCACUACACCAAACAUUUCACUAAAUCAGACCAGCUUAAUCUAGUCUAAGCUAGUCUAGUCUGAAAUAAUCCGAAGUAAUAAAUGCACUCCCCAUUUUACCAAUUGAUUUAUGACGGAACCUCAACUUUCAUUGUACAAUUUAAAAUUCUCCCAAAAAGUAAAAGGUUAUUUCUACCGAGUCCGGAUCCUCACCGGAUCCUUUUUGUGAGAAUCCCAGGAAUCCGUAAAUCUUAGUUCUUGAUGCUUCUGCGUUUCAUUGUAGACCAAUAAUAGUUGGCAUGAAAAUUAUUUGCUAUGUCCAUGAAUGAUUGACGGUAAUAAAACUCAAAUUUAAAUUAAAUAUUGGGUUUUUAUUGUGCAAUUAAGUUGUUUUAUUUCAUGCCACUUAAUACUACAGCCUAAUAAUAUUAUUUUUUUGGGUAAAAGACUGUUUACUACCCUCAUGUUUCAUGGUUUUCAACAUUUAGUACAUCAAGUUUUUUUCGUCUCAGAAUCAUACCUAAAGUGUAAAUUUUGGGACAAUCUCAUACAUCCGUUAGUCAAACUGUUAAAUUUGCCGUUAAUUGUGACGUGGAGCCCAUGUGGACAAUGACUGGGCGCCACGUGUCAACCACGUUUUUUUUUUUUUUUUUUCUUUCUUCUUCUUCUUCUUCUUCUUCUUCUUCUUCUUCCACCCGACUACAACAAUUUUUUUUCCUUCCUCCUUCUCCUUCCUUCCCCUUCUUCUCCUUCUUCCUUCUCUUCCUCCGAAUUUGGGGAAGUUUUUUUUUUCUUCCUCCUUCUUCCUCCUUCUUCCUUCAUCUUCUUCUUCUUCUUCUUCUUCUUCUUCCUCCGAAUCUGCCCAGAUUCGGUUUUUUUUUUUUUUUUUUUUUUUUUUUUUGAGGAAGAUGAAGAGGAAGGAGGAAGGAAGGAGGAAGGAAGGAGGAAGGAGAAGAAGAAGAAGGAGGAAGGAGGAAGGAAGGAGGAAGGAGGAAGGAAGAAGGAAGAAGAAGAAGAAGAAGGAGGAAAAAGAAGGAAGGAAAAAAAGUUGCAGUCGGAGGAAGAAGAAGAAGAAAGAAGAAAAAAAAAAAAGCCGAAUCUGGGCAGAUUCGGAGGAAGAAGAAGAAGAAGAAGAAGAAGAAGAAGAAGAAGAAGAAGAAGAAGAGGAAGGAAGAAGGAGGAAGGAGGAAGGAGAAGGAAGAGAAGAAGGGAAGAAGAAGAAGAAGAAAAAAAAAAAAAAAAGAACUUCUCCAGAUUCGGAGGAAGAAGAAGAAGAAGAAGAAAAAGAAGGAGAAGGAGAAGAAGGGGAAGGGGAAGGAAGAAGGAAGAAGGAAGAAUGAGGAAGAAGAAGAAAGAAGGAAAAAAAAACGAAUCUGGGCAGAUUUGGAGGAAGAAGAAGAAGAAGAAGAAGAAGAAGGAAUAAGGAGGAAGGAGAAGGAAGUAGGAAAAAAAAAAUUCCCCAGAUUCAGAGGAAGAAAAAGGAGAAGGAGAAGGAGAAGGAAGAAGAAGGAAGAAGGAGAAGAAGGAGAAGAAGGAGGAAGGAAGAAGGAGAAGGAGGAAGAAAAAAAAAGUUUGCAGUCAGGUGGAAGAAGAAAAAGAAGAAAGAGAAAAAAAAAUCCCCAGAUUCAGAGGAAGAAAAAGGAGAAGGAGAAGGAGAAGGAAAAAGAAGGAAGAAUGAGAAGAAGGGGAAGGAAGAAGGAGGAAGGAAGAAGGAGAAGGAGGAAGAAAAAAAAAAAAGUUUGCAGUCGGGUGGAAGUGGAAGAAGAAGAAAGAAGAAAGAAGAAGAAGAAAGAGAAAAAAAAAAAAAAAUUCCCCAGAUUCGGAGGAAGAAAAAGGAGAAGGAGAAGGAGAAGGAAGAAGAAGGAAGAAGGAGAGGAAGGGGAAGGAAGAAGGAGGAAGGAAGAAGAGAAGGAAGAAAAAAAAAAAAAGUUUGCAGUCGGUGGAAGAAGAAGAAGAAGAAGAAGAAGAAAGAAGAAAGAAGAAAGAAGAAGAAGAAAGAAAAAAAAAAAAAAAAAAAAAACGUGGCUGACACGUGGCGCCACGUCAUUGUCCACAUGGACGCCACAUCACAAUUAACGGCAAAUUUAAUAGUUUGACUAACGGAUGUAUGAGACUGUCCCAAAAUUUACACUUUAGGUAUGACUCUGAGACGAAAAAAACUUAAUGUACUAAAUGUUGAAAACCAUGAAACAUGAGGGUAGUAAACAGUAUUUUACCCUUUUUUCUUACUUGUAAGUGAAGGUCUUAAGUUCGAUUUUCGCCAAAAACGAAGUUGAACCACAUUAUUACUAUCUUAUUGUGAGGCUAAGCAUAUCCCUUCCUUUUUAGUGUAGAUAAUAUUGUUUGUUAAAAAAAAUUGUAUUAUUUCAUUAAUAAAAAGUCGUCAAAGCAGCCGUAUCAAUUAAAAAAAUUAGCAAAAUUGUUGAAAACUUGUCGAACAUUCUUGUAUUUACUAAUUUCCGUGUGUGGAUAAGUUUUAGUUUACCUAGUACAAGUACAAAAGCAAUAAAAAAAAGGUAGGUAGAUCAUUUUGAUGUUCAUUUGGACAUUAUUCUAGCUUAGCUAGGAAAGAUCUAGAACCAAGUGCAUGCAUACGCAGUGUGGUGACAUUUUCAUUUUAUCCUACGUAUUUCCCACCCUUUUGUUUCAAGCAAAGGCCAUUGACAAUCCUCACAUGUCGGCUUGUCAUGACAUUAUUUAACUUCUAAGACGAAAAUUUUGAACUCUCGAAACUUUAUUUUAUCUAACUAAAAUAGUCAGUACAAUUUAACAGUAAAUAAGCACGUUAAUCUGUAUUAUCUAACAAAUAUUUAUCCUAUCCGACUGAAAUAGUCAGUAUAGUCCGAGCUGCCAAACGAGACCUUAGUAUAUAUCAUUUUUGUCCUUAAUUAUUUGCAAAAAAAUAGUAUCAAAUACACGAUUUGUAUUAUCUAUGUAUGAAAUUUUUGAGUAAGAUAUUAAAAUUUAGUGAUAACAAAGGCAUGUUGUUGGGGUCAUAAGCAUGCAUUGCUCUCACCCUGCCUCCGCUAGUGAUUCCACUGACAUAGCACACCACCGAUCGAUGAUACCUUGAAUCCUGUCAAUCACAAAAUAAUUUGAUGUUCAACAAAGGUUAGUUGUAGGGGUGGAGCCACUAAGAGAUCAAGGUGGUCUUAGGCCCAUCCUGACCAUUGUGUAAGAAAAUUUUAGCAAUCAAGCAUGCAACUGUGGAAUCGUAAGACAUGAAGAAAAAAAUGAAUUGCUCUCGUGGAGAAGUUGAGUUAAACAACAUCAUUUCUUAUAUUUUUCUAACAAUUUUGUUUGUUUUGUCUUUGUAGUUCAAUGAAACGAUGAGUUUAGGGAAUGGGUUUUAAAAUCAACUUUAAUGUUAUUCUAAACCAAUCUAAUCAACUAUUAUUUGUGGGGAUAAUACUAGGGAGACCAAAUUUUAAAACUAAAUUUUGUAAAUCAAAUGGUGUGGUUGAUGAUGAUUGGAUUAUUACUUAACUGUUGAUUAACAUUCUUAUUUUCUAUGGAUAACACAUCAUUUAAUUUGCAAGUUUAAUUUAAAAUUUUGGUCAACCUAGCAUUACCCUAUUUGCAACUGUCCUUUUUUUUUUUUUGUCAAACAAUUCAAAUCAGAUUUCCUUGUAUUUUCUUUCUAUAAUGCCAAUUUUUUUACUGGUUACCUGCUAUCUACCUCCCACUUAAUUGUAUUGGACAAUUAUUUUGAUUCUCUCUAUUAAAUUUAAUGUUUCUUUUAGUUUUGUGAAAAUUAUCUCAAUUGCUCAUGUUAUGAGUUUGAAUUUUUUUUUCUCAACACCUAUAUGAAAGGCCCUUCGCCCCCCUAUCAUAUAGAAUUCUGACUCUGCCAUAAUCACUAAUAAACCAUAGUUUAACAUAGACGCAAUAAUUAGCACUCUAAAAAGGUUAUCAUGCAUGCAUGCCACUGUAAUUAGUUUUAGAAAGAAAGAGGGGAGGAAUCCAAGAUGAUUUGCUUGAAGUAUGUCACUAGUAAUAUGAUCCAACGAUACUCUCUCAUUUAUAAGUGAGAGGCGUGGAACAAAAAAUAAUCUCAAAAGUCCAGAAGAUGACACAUGGGUUUUUCUUGGAAUUCUGCUUUUCACUCUGGUACUGCACCAAAUAUUUCACUAAAUCAGACCAGCUUAAUCUAGUUUAAACUAGUCUAAUCUGAAAUAAUCCGACGUAAUAAACGCACUCCCCAUUUUACCAAUUGAUUUAUGGCGGAAUCUCAACUUUCAUUGUAUGAUUUAAAAUUCUCCCAAAAAGUAAAAAGUUAUUUCUACCAAGUCCGGAUCCUUGCCGGAUCGAGGAUCCCGGGAAUCCGUAAAUCAUAUAUGUUCAUCGUACAUCAUGUAGUCAUAAAUUAUUUUAAAUAUUUUUAUUUAAAAAUAAACAUAAACAGUACUUACCAAAAAUUGAUUGCACGAUGUACGAUUUAUUCUCACCAAAAGAUCCGGAGAGGAUCCUGUUGGAAUUCUGCCAUUCUGAACCAAGAAAAUGUCAGUUCCUUUACAUGAGUUUAAACCAGCUGCAAGUUGCAACAGCUCUCCGCUUUCUCUGUCUCGAACAGAAUUUGUCACCAUUUUACACUCUCAAGCAACCCAGAAGGUUUUCUGUUCCUCUACACCCUAAACUUUAAUUGAAAUUUUCAAUUGAAAAUUUACCCAAAAAUUGAACCCAUGUGUUCUGAAGAAACCUUUUUGCUUUUUUCUUCCACUGCUCUUUGCUUCUGCUCCUCAACUGUAAGUUCUUCCGCUGCAACUUUUUUCUAGUUCUCCUUUUAAUAUUUGGAAUUUCUAUGUCUUAAUGAACACUUUACUGGGUAUUUUUCUUUGAAUGCUGUUAUUGGAUUCUACGUGUUCUGAUUAUGUUUUGAAGAAAAAGAAAUUAUUUUUCUUCAGUUCUAACGGCUGCUGUCACUUGCUCACAUUUUACUUCUUAUCAAGUUUGUUAAUUUAUAAUGUUUGUUUUAUUUUUGUUCAUUGUCCGAGAUUGUUAACAAUUUUCUGGAUGAAUAGUUUCAAGUUUUGGACAUUGGUCUCGUAUGAAUUGUCCGUUUUAUUCCUUCAAGUUAGAAGACAAUGUCCGUAUUCUUCCUUGAUUGCACAUGAAAUCUAGUUGUAUUGCUAGUCUAGUCUAGUCCUGCAUAUCGAAUGCCAGCAAAAAGUAUUUCAAAAACAACUGAUCUUAUGUAGAGAAGAGGCUUUUCUUCAAUAGUACGUACAAAGCGCUUGCCGCGACGCACUUCAAUAAGCGACUCUAUGAGUCUGUGAGCUGUUGGAACCAUGUCACGGAUCAUAGAUAUGCCAAUAAAUCACCAAUACUACCAACAAACAAUGUGAACAACAGAACCAUAAACCUCAGUAUAAAAUCAGUCAAAACAUACCUGCAGAACUUGAACUCGAAGAAGCCAUAGUAACUUCACCACCAGACAAUCUUCUCCUCUUUAGCAAAACUAGAGAGCUCUUUGAACAAUAGGUAUUCAAUACAAGAUGAGCCGUAUCUUUGCAAGAGCAGUGAUUGUGGUUAAAUACAGCAUUAAUCCAACACAUUCUCCUAUUGGAAUUAGUGUUGGACUCUAAAACAAAAACCAUUUUACACAAUGAGUGCACAAGAACAAUCCGAGAAGGAUCCAAAACCUUUUCCCAAAGGAACACUAAAAACACUCAUAAUCCUACAAGAAAUAGGAUUUACACAAAUACUUUUCCAUUCAAAAUUCAUCCAAUAUAACAGCUAAUCCACAAUCAUGUUUUUAUACUCAUAUUCUAACAUGAGCCUCAUAAAUUUCUAAACUCUAGUUAGAUACUGAAGAAAACUUAUUUCUGAUACAAUCAUGUGUACAGAGUUACAAUGUAAAUUGUAAAGGAAAUAUGGUCUUGACAGUUGUUAACUUUGGCUUGAAAUGCACUUUGAUCAUCAGAGUAUGACCAUAAACCUGAACUGGAAGUAGUCUUCAGGUGAUUAAUGCCUUGUAAUGGACUUCCUACUAGGCGCUGGAGGAACUGUGGGAUUGGGGGUAUGCCAACAUCUGAAACUCCCUCAAGAAUUUGAACAACCCGCCUCAUCGUUGGUCUAUCCUUCUCAUCUUCUUGAAUGCACCAACAAGUGACUUUGCAUGCUUUAGCGAGUUCAUCUUUGUCAGCACAGCCUUCCAACCUGUAGUCCAACAAUGUAACGACAUCUUCUCCUUUAUUAACUACAUUUGUAACCCUGAUAGGACGGUAGUCUUCUAACCCCUCAUCUAACCCUUCUCUGUUUCUCCUACCUGAUAUAACCUCAAUCAGCAACAUGCCAUUAGCUAAAGACAUCAGCUUUUGGCAUGAUGGCUUCACCUGAAAACCAUUCUGGUGUAAGAUAACCUACAGUUCCUCUUAUGGUUGUCAGAACGCGACUGUGGUGUCUUCCGACAAGUUUUGCUAGACCAAAAUCAGCCAGUUUUGGAUUGUAUUCUGCGUCCAACAAAAUGUUGUCGGGCUUAAUAUCACAGUGUAUUAUGCAGUCUCGCACUACUCAUGUAGGUAAGCCAAUCCUCUGGCAAUCCCCAUGGCAAUAUGAUAUCUGUCUUUCCAAUCUAACAUUAGUGCAUUCUCUUGAUGAAAAAGAGAUUGCAGAGAACCAUUUGGCAUGUACUCAUAUACCAAAAGUCGUUUUGAAGUUUCUGCGCAAAAUCCCCAAAGGCGAACAAGAUUAAUGUGGUGGAUUGUGCUAAUUGUCCCCACUUCAGCGUGAAAUUGCUUCUCUCCCUGCUCCAGAUAUUUAAGUUCUUUCACUGCUAUGGCAGUUGAAUUGGGCAAUAUCCCCUUGAAAACAGAACCAAAACCUCCUUCCCCAAGUUUUUUUUAGAAGUUCUUAGUUGCUUUUCUUAAAUCUCUAUACUUGAACAACACCAAGGAAUCCUGAACUAUUGCCGAUGUUCCUUUUGACCGCUUCCUUUUGAAAAAUGCAAUGAGAAUCGUUGAGAUUGAAAGGAACCCCACAAAUACUACAAUAGCAAUCCAAGUAGUCUUUCUCUUAACCUUGUUGGUAGAAUCUGCAACUCGUAUAUGAAUUUUUAUGCCAUCCAUUAGUUUAGUUACAGAGUAUGGUAGUUGAUACAGAUCGAAUACAUCCCCUUUCCAAAUCAUACAGUCGUUAUUGUAAGCGAAGGCAGUGAUCGAGCAAUCUCUUGAGCAUGCUAAUCUACAUUCCUCAAUGCUUUUAAACUUUAACGAUUCAGAAUUUUGGGAAUAAGAAACAUCAGGUACUCCCAAAAAUUUGUGAUUUCCUACAUCACUGCACUGCAAAGGAGUUUUCCUCACACAACCAUAAGAAUAACCUCCAAAUUCCCAAUCUUCUGGGAUUUUGGGUUCAAAUCCUUCCAAGCAUCGACAAUGAGGCAAAUUCUGAAAGUCACAGAUACUAAAAGCACCACACGAAACAUCGUUAGUACAUUGUCCAAGAGCACCCCAAGUGUCUAUUGUCUCACUGCCGUUAUAAAACUUGAGUAGACCAUUCAAAAGUUUAUAUCUCACAAAUGAAUUAGGAUCGAUGGGAACAUAAGUUAAAGAGCUUUCAUUCUCAUUUACAUCAGAAUUCAAAUUCACUUGACAAUAAAAGCAGUAGUGAUUGUCACCUUGCCAAUCCCAAAUACUAAUGGCGGAACCAUUUCGAAAUAAGAAAACCCUGCUUCCAGCUUGUUCUAUCUCAAGUGAAAAUAUUCCAGGGGCUGGAUUUUGUGGGUUUCUCCAGGGAGUAAGGAUUAGCUUUUCCUUGGUAAGCUUAUUAUAUCCAAGCUUGGCACCUGGAAGCCAAGUGUCAGUGGGGUGAUCAAAACUCUGCCAUAAAACGGCGGAUGAAUCAGAUUCAUCACUGAUGACGAAGUUCCCGUUGUCAAGAAGCACUGCUAUGGUGGAAUUAGAAACCGCUGCCGCAGAACGAGUUGACCAAAUUGUAUAUUUGGUUCGGUCCAGCAACUCUAAGCUUCCAUUUCGGAAGAGUUGCAAUGCCGAAGAAUAUGAAUCAGAAGCAGGUUGUUUUCUGUUUGUUACCCAAACUACUGUUCGAGGGCGGAGAUUUUUGUACCAAAUGCCUACGUAAUAGUUUCGAGAGUCACCUGUUGUGAAGAAACCCAGCUCAAAUCUGUCACCUGGAGAGGUGAGUGUUUGGCUUCCACAAAGAGAUUGGCCUGCUUAGAUGGUGUCAGAUGCCAUGGAAAUUCCAUUGAAGGUGAAACAUAACAGAAGCAGAACAACAGACUGGGAAAUGAAGUUAUUGUUGCUACUGAUAUCCAUCUCUUCAAAGAGUCAGAUUUUCUGCAAGCUGAUGCCAAACUUGACUCUUCCUCUCCUAUUUUUGUUGCUAUGAAUGGAGCUUAACCAGAAUUAGGUAGAUUACUAGUUGGAAGUCGUCAAGCCAACCAAGCCAACCAAGUCACCAGUCCAAGAUCAUUAAAUUUUACUUGGCAAUGCCAAAUAUCUCCGUCGCAAUAUAUGAAAUGUAUGGAAAUUUCUCCCCCGGACAUUUUUUUCAUGAGUGAACGGUUGAUUUGAACUAAUUGAAAUUGAGUUAAGUCUCAACAGUGCACACGUUAAAAAAAAAUGUGCAAAUGAGCAAAGCUCGUGAAAUGUAUAUGUAAGUUUUGCUUCUACACACAGGAAAAUUGUAAGGCCAACCGGCAAACCAGGUGGUUGUGUGACCGUAUACAAACUAGGCCUCUCUGUGAUGCGUAAUAACGAGCUAGACCAACCCAUGAUCUCACGUUUGUGAGACAAGGGCCGCAUGUGAAUGGUUGUACAUAAAAAUUUGCCCUACUUAGGCUAUGCAAUGCAUGGAUUUAGUGGCAAAUAUAUAUAUAUAUAUAUAUAUAUAUAUUAUGUUAUUUUUGCUGAGAUUCUUUAAUUUCUUCUGUAUAAAUAUUUUUUCUUUUGUUGAUCUUAGCCAAGAAUUGUGCCACUUUGGUGUGUAUCUAUAGGCCUUUUAGCCCAGAUGAAAGGAAAAUAUAUCAAUAUUUGGGCCUUUUUGACUUUUCAGUUGGGCUUUCACAACCUUAGCUAAGAACUGAAAACCCUAAAAUUGAAGCAGUUUUCGGAAGAAACCCUCCACUUAAUGUUUUAAACUGUAUAACUUUCAUUUUCACACUCAUUGCCCGAUAUUUUUAGAAUGCUUAGGACCUGUUUGGUAUUUUAUUUGAAUUUUUUUAUCAUUUAUCAAAAAGACUUAAAAAUUUGAUUGGUUUGUGAUUUAAAAAUUUUAAAUCUUACAACUUAAACUAGACAAAGAGAUCUAUAAAGAGGGGGUCGUAGGAGAGGGAGAAAGAAAGAGGAGAGAGGAGGAAAGAAAGUAAAAGAUGAUUGAAGGAAAGAGAAAGAAGAGAGAGGAUCAGACGAGGUUGAGAGGAAGAGGAGUGAGAGAAACAACAGAGAGAAUGAAGAGAGCGGAUUGGAGGAGAGACGAAAAAGGUAAAAAAAAAAAAAGUAGAGAUAAAGAAGAAAAGGAGAGAGAUAGAUUUGAAGAGAGAGUGAAGGAGGAAGACAAAAUAAAGGAGCGAGUUUAAGUUUAAAAUUUCUAAAAACUCACUUUUUAUGUUUUUAAAGAAUAGAUCAUAUUUUUUAGUUAGUAUUGAGUUCAGUUUUUGAAAAUGGUCUUACCAAACAAGUUUUUAAGGCUUAAAACUUGAAAAUUGUUUUUGAGUUUAAAAAGUUGGAUUCAAGUAGAGUACCAAACAAUCCCUUAUUUUCUUGUGGACAUGAACACGAAUGCUUAGGAGAUAUUCAGGAAUGUGGUUCAGAAAAUUAUGGAAUGUAGAUGGUGAGAAUUUUGUGAGUUUUUCAAGGCUAAUCAGAAGAUAUGCAUCAGUUUCAAGCAGAACUGUGAUAGACAUGGCUGUUAGAGAUGGGGAGUUGAGGGUUUUCUUAGUUUUUGGAGAGGUUUCUGGGGGACACGACUGCCUCUCGUCUCAUGGCAUCUCUGAAGAAUCUAUUUCCGGUUCCUGACCGCUUUUCCGGCGUUGGAGGGUAAACUUUUACUUUCUCUGCGGUCUUUAUUGGAAUUUGUAAUUCUUUGCAGAAGUCCUUUUUCAUAGGUUUAUGUUAGUAGCCUUUGUGUGUGCAUUUAUGUAAUUGAGCUAUUUUCCUUUUCUUAAGGAAAUACAAUCUUCACAUGGAUAACAUUUUAGACAAUUUGGACAAAUCUGUGGUUUUCAAAAUUUUUGUUGUUUGAAUGAUAUUGGUUAAAUGAGAUAUGGUGUUGUGUCCACGAUGUGUUUAGGUUGAUGAUGACUAAUCAAGGAUUAAAGUCGCUGUUUCCGAUGGAGGAUAUUGCCGUGAUGGGAUUAUUGGAGUUAUUGCUUAGUCUGAAUAUGAUCAGAGUGAGUUUGAGCUACAUAUUAAGACUUUACUAAACAAAUUCGACGAUAGAUAGUGUUCUAUCUUUAUGUGUUACUUAGCAUCUUUCAGUACAAGAGAAAAAAGUUGUUGCAUUCUGUCAUCUUAUUUGGUCAAUGUAUUGGGCCAGGUGAAGCUGCAGGAGACAAUAGAGGCUGCUCUUCGGUUUCAACCUCAUGUUGUUGUGACUGUGGAUUCCAAGGGUUUCUCUUUCCGUCUGUUAAAACAGUUACGGGGUAAUGUAGACCACCUCCUCGGUGUUAUAAUCAGACUGUAGUGAUACAAUCGACAGGGAGUAAAUGCUCCGGUACACUUCCAUUAUGUAGCACCAUCAUUUUGGGCUUGGAAAGGGGGUGAAGCAAGACUCCGAGGCCUGGUUCAAUUUGUGGAUCAUGUCUUGUGUGUACUUCCAAAUGAAGAAGAAGUUUGCAGAUCAAAUGGACUGGCUGCAACCUUUGUAGGCCACCCCAGUUUGGAGGAUGUUUGGGAGUUGAAUUCGGUAUGAUUUUGUGUACAUAGUUGUCAUUACAGAUCAUUCUUAAGAUUUCUGAGAUAUUUAGUUUCACGCUCUUUCUUCUAAACAGUUGAGAACAAUACUAUGGAACCAUCUGAUGCUGUUUAAAUUGACUUUUCUUUUAAGUUUCAAGUACUAAUACACAAUCUUGUGUAUAGAAGGAAACUUCACCCCAUGAAUGGAAGAUGGAAGAUACAAGGAAACUGCGAAGAUUUCCGAAGGAAAUAUGCAAUGCCUGCAGGUAAACACCUAAGAGUAAUUCUCUUUUGCAGUAACUAAGAGUAAUUCCGUUACAGUGGCCUAAGAAUCGAGGUUCCACAAUAAACCCUUUUCUGAAAACUUCUUGCUCCAUCAACCGACUAUUUCUUCCCCUUUCUUCUCCUUUUUCCAAGCCCCAAAUCAUUUUUGACGAGCUCCUUUCUGUGCGUGUGCACAUUUCUUACUCUUUCCCAAUUGAAAUCUUCUUUUAAUAUUCUGGGAUUUUAUUUUGCAAAGGAGCCAAAGUCAUUUCCUUGCUUCCUGGAAGCAGAUUACAAGAGAUCACCAGAAUGCUUUCCAUCUUCACAUACGCUAUGGCAUUAUUACAAGUGUCAUUUCCCAAGUAAUUAACAGUCAUCCAUGUCGCUCCCAAUCAUCAUGUGAAGAACUAUGUCACCUGAAUCACUAACAACUUGUUAGUGAUUCAGUGUGAGUGCAAAAACCUAAAAGAGCACUUUGGAUGAUAUAAAUUGUAUUUACGUGUGCACUCUUUCAGCGUGUUGGUAGAAUGUGAAAUUUGUCUCUUCGUUGGAUUGCCAGUGAAGCACUUAACACGGGCAUCUAACAGAGCAUGAAUCUGAGCAUCUGAAACCAAGUUUUCGGAAGUUCAUGUCUGAGCAUAUCUGAAUAUGUCUAAUCUAGCUCAAAUUUGUUACGAAUAUUAAAUUGCAGGCAAGUAGUGUUGCGUUAUGUGCUUCUGGAACAGUUGCUUUGGAGAAGCAGGUUGCACGGCUGCCAUGUGUAGUCGCUUAUUCUCAUUUCCUAACUGAGUUGAUUAUUCGUUAUGAAGCCAAGGUACCCAUCGUCUCCCUCCCAAAUGUUCUCAUGGAUUCCCCUAUUGUGCCCGAAGCUCUCUUUCAAGCGUGUACUCCGACAAACCUAGCCUCAUUGAUGUUGUAAGUUACAUUUAAGCAUGACAUCUUCAAAUUUUGGUUUAGUUACUGUAAUACUGGAUAUUUUAAGUACAAAGCUUUGGUAUUUCCCUAGCUAGUUCGCACAUAAAUCAAGUAUAUUUGAUCCAUCACAGGGAUUUGAUACAUGACAAUGGCGUCUGAGAAAAACAGAUUGUUGCUGCGGAAAAGGUUUAUCAGACUUCUCUGUGCUCCGGCCCGAAAUUUAGAUCCGUUGGCAGAGCAGCAUCAAGGAGGGAGUUUUCCCCAUAACACAACGAGUAUGAUAGCAGCUACUGCAAUACUGCACCAUGCAAAGCCUCUGUGGGAUGUCAUUAUUUAUGUACAAAAUGUUAUACAAAUGUUUAAUAUCUCACCGAUGUAUCUUUUGGCUUGAUUCGAAUUAAAGGUGGAGAGUUUGAUUUUCGUUCUUUGCUCGAUUGGAGGUGUAUUAACACAGAUAAUGUAACAUCAAAAUUGCAAAUUUAAGAAGCAACCCCAAGUUGAUCGGUUUUUCUUUUGACAAAGGUUUUUCGAGUUUGUCGAAAUAAAAACAGAUCGGACAUGGACAUGAGAUUGACAUAUGUUCGGAAAAUAUUAUAAACAUAAGUGCUAAAUUACUUUUUUUUUUCUUUUUAAAAAAUGGGGCAACUAGUGGCAAGUCACAAUGAUCCACCCAUUCCAGGGGCCGGGAAGACUCACAGAGUGCAUUUCAGCUUUCCUUGGUCACAAGUCUGGCUUCCAGAACAGCAAUGGGUUUCGAACCCGAGACAUCCAAUUUUUAGUUUUAAGGAAGUUUUGUAAUCCGUCAUUUACCAUUGGGUCACCAGCUCGUAGUUAAGCGCUAAAUUACUUUGCUUGCUUGAACUUGUAUAAGUAAAUAACUAGGUAUAUUUCUAGUUCAUUAUAAAAAAUAAAAAAUAAAAAAAUAAAAAAAACUUAAAAAGUUCCCUAGCUGACAUGCAUGCAAUAUAAAGUCGGAUCAAAUUAUCAUCAGCCGAUUAAUCUGAAGUCUUGUUUGAUUUGUUAAGAUAACGAAUUCGGACCAAAUCACACCUAAGAAAACAAAAUCUAAGACAAUGCUAACAGUGAUUCAAAUAACAAGGCAGACAUAUAGGACAUUCUUCCACAUCAAAGCCACAAGACUUGCUCAACUCCUAAUUACAAACUCAAGGCCACAAAAAAAAAAACUCACUUCUUAUUUUAGUAAACAACGCUCACUUUAAAAUCCCCACAACUCCUUCAGUCACAUUGCACGCUAUCAAACUCCACAGAAACCUUAAAAUCUGAAAUUUCCACACGCAAUCCCUCGCCAAAGAAAAAUCCCUUUUCGUUACUACAAUGGCUGUAUCAAGGGGACUGCUUUUGCUUUGCCUAGGGACACUCUUGGUCAGUGUGUUCUUAGUCAAGGUGGCUGAGGCUAGUGAGGACCAUGGCGACUGCCACGGUGACCCGAACAAUGGGGACCAAUGCCAGGAGCAUGAGAGUGAUGUAAUUGGGGACGAUGAUGUGGAUGACACAUACAAGAUUGUGAACAAGGUUGCAGUGACUUUUUCGGCCAGAACCGGCGAAGUUGAGCCAGAUGCAGCCGAAGCAUCAGACCCAGAUGAUGCUGAAGAUAAUGAAUCGAGUCAUAUCAUUGUAAUGGGACACUGAUUAGCCAAAUGGGGAUAGCUAGGUAACCUAGCUAGCUUGCUAGGGUUACGGCAGUGCUCUGCAGGGUUAUGGUUUUCGCAUUCGUUUCAUACUUUUUUUCUUAUAUUUUGUUUUAGCAUCGCGUUUUCUUCCUUUUGAUGAGUUUGUCAUAAACAAUUUCGUUCUUAGUCGCUUGUUGGUUAUUUAAGUCAUUCUUCAACUCACGGUUCAAUUCUUUUGAUCACAUAUGUAGGAGUAAUGUUAUUCAUACCAUGUUUUUUACUAAAUUUUCAUACCAUCUUAGGUGGCAUUUGAUGUGGACAGUCACAUCAUUUGAAUUAAUCAAAUUUUUAAAUUUAAUUCAUUAUCUAAUAAACUAAUAAUUAAGAAAAACUAGUUAAUUAAAUGAUGAUUGUGGUGUAUGAUGAGUUUUUCUCCUUCAUUUCCUUAGAUUUUGCAAAUUUUUCAAAUGAUAUGGCUGUCCAUAUCAGAUGCCACCUUAGGUGGUACGAAAAUGUGGUACAAAAACAUAGUAUGAAUAGCAUUACUCCAUAUGUAGACUUGGUCUCGAUAGAUUGACCAUUUAAUCUCACCCUUAACUUGUGUAAUAGAGAUGAGACUUAUUUAUGUUGGUAGAUCUCAUUUUAAAUUAAAACAUGAUCACUAAUAUUGUAAAAUAAAUGAUAGUAAGCUCAUUACACUAACACCCUUCAAGUUUUAAAUAAACUACCGAUAGUAAACUUUUUUAUAAAUAAAAGAAUACUUUUUUUAAAAAAAAUAAAAGAAUACUUUUUUAUAAAUAAAUAUUUUUAUAUGUAUAAAAAAAAUUAAAAGAGAAAUAAUCAAUUUUUUUUUCCAAUUCUCAGAAAAUCAUCAGCCUAAUUGGCAGCAAUCAAAGUAAUUACAACCCUGAUCACUCAAUCAACUUAAUCACAGAUAAUUACAAUAAAUUAAGAUCAAUCAAUUCCUUCCACCAUAUUUUUGCACACACGCGAUUCUUCCUAUAAAAAUUCCAGAAAACUCACCCUAUGCAACUAUAGAAAUGGAUGCGUCCAAGGCAAUGACUGUUUUGUCCCUAGGCGCUCUCCUUGUGUGUAGUUGAAGUAGAAGUGUAGGUGUAUUUUUAUAUCAAUUGUGGAGACGACCAUUUAGGAUAGUAAAAUCUGCAUUAAACCGGGAUUCAUGAGGAUAUUCAGGAAGUAGAUAUUAUAUUAUUUUAGGAGUAUGAUUACUUGCGGUGCACGUCAAUCUUUAUACUAUAAGGAUUCCAAGGUUAUAGCAAACAUGUUGAUUCCUUGUUGGGUUAAGUUCUCGAAUUUUGCGAAACAAGAAUGGUCUAUCUCGACGAAGUCGAAGGACUUCACCCACUGAUUCCGAAACAGGCUGAUGGUGACAUCACUACCCGUUUAGUCAACUCCGCUAUGGAAGCUAUUGAGUCCAUGACUGGAUUUCUAAGGUAGGCGUAUUCCAAUCUGCCUUACUCCGGCUCUAGAAAAUAUGUGCCACGUAAAUGUGACUUUUUGUAAGUUGAGAGGUGCAUGAUAUUGAUAUAUAUGUGCUAUUAUUGUUGCUUUCUUUGUUGCGGAAAAUGAUCAUUGCCGAAUUCUUUUCCUGAGGAUUUCAAGGAUCUGGUUAUCGUAACUGUUCAUCGUACAUUGUAUGAUCAGUUUUUGUUAGAUACUAUUUAUAUUUAAUUUUAAAUUUCAAAUAAUUUAUAAAUACACAAUAUACGAUAAAUAGUCACGAUCACAGAAUUCUCGAGAUCCCAAAAAAAGAAUUUGGCGAGAAUCAUUUUCCUUUGUUGCGAUGCGAUGAGACUCGUCUUUUGACUUGAGGGGAAGACAAUGGUCAGAAUUUGCUUGAGAAAACUGAUUUCCAAGUACCAAGACAUCAUUCAAUCUCACAUGGUUUUUGACACUACUCCCUCCAGACGCAUCAUCCUUUCAUUUGAAAGUUUCUAAGUUGACAACCCUAGCUAGCUAGCUCUACUGUUCUUGUUUUUUGUUAAACAGCUAGCUCUACUGUUUUUAACUCACAUACGUGUUUAGUUAUUCGGAAAGGGAUCAUAUUUGGAUCUCUUCUAUCAAAUUCACCUAAAAAAUCAAUUUAGAUCCUUGAAAUUUGAUCCAACGUCUAUAAAUAGGGGGUUUUUUUACAAAUUAUAAUAACUUGAGUCGUUGGAUCCAAUUUUAAGAACUCAAAUUAGGUGAUUGUCGUGUUCAAUCUAACUCCUCUUUUAGAAAAAGUUUGGCAAUUGUCACAUUCAUAUAUGUGGUGUUAUAUAAUUAUAUACUAGCCUCUAUCCACGCACCUUCAAAGAUUUUGAAUGCUUUUGGGUUAAGUCUACAUAUUUGAUUUAAUCAAAUAAUAAUGUUUUUUUUUUCCCGAAAUCAAAUAAUAAUGUUAGGUACCCUAAUUUUGUGCAGCAAAUGAUAUGUUACCGAUUAAAUUUGUACUUUAAUUAAAGUUAAAAUUUGAUUAGUCAUUGAGAUACAAAGUUAUAAGGUAAAAGUACAUUUUGGCCCUCAAGUUUUUCGUCCAAUUUUAAAGUCAUACAACGUUUUUAAUUUUUUUAAAUUUCAUACAACGGUUUACAAUUUCAUAAUCAAAUCGGUCUCUACAGAAUUUACAUUAAGAAUAAAGAAAAUAAUAUUUAAUAAAUAAUUGAUUGAAUCAUAUUAUUGCUAGUAUAUUGCGAGGCUAAGCCCACUUCCUUCUCCCUUAGUGUAGAUAACAACGUUUAUUAAAAAAAAAACAAUUAUUUGACAAUUAAUUUAAUCAUAUUAUUAUCCGUGUACAAAAGACCCUUUACAACUUAUUUAAUCAUAUUGUUACCCGUGUGCGAAAAAUAUUUUUUAUUAUUUUCUCUCUUCUCACUUAUAUUUAUAUUAUAUUUUAUGAUGAUCAAAUUACCAAAUUACCCCUGCAUUAUUUGAUAUAUUAUAUUGGGUUGCAUUUAGAUUUUUUUUAUUGAGGGGCAAUUUUGUCCUAAGAUUUUUGUCGAAUGGUACCCCAAAUUUUUGUCGGCAUGCGUGGGGCACUGGCUUUCCAUUAUAUAUAAUAAUAAUAUAAUAAGAUAGAUACAAAGGGUCUUCAGUUCAUGCAUUGUUCACCAAAAGGGAUCUAUAAAUGGUUUAAGUAGUUUAAAAGGGCCAAUAAUAUAGAGGCCGCAUUUUAUUUUAAUGUUUUAUUUUUUCCCUUGUUUAAAAUAUGUAUAUUUCAAUCUAUAGAUUUGUUAGAUUAUAUGUUAGAUUAGGAAGCUGACGAAGUUUGAACCCACAUCAUAGGGUAAGGGCUAUUAACAAAGAGAAAGGAAAGAAUAGCUUGUGAAAAACUAGAGAGAGAAAGAAACCAAAGAGAAUACUAAACUGUUCAAUUUCUUUAGAGAGAUGAAAAGAUGAUUACAAACGCCUUACACAUUUCGUUUAUGUAGAGAAACUAACUGUUACAAAAGUACAAUACUACCCUUCUCAUAUUCUUUAUCUUUCUAACAACCCAAUCCUACUUAACAAACUUACAACUGUAUAACCAACUAUUAUGAUUAUUACUCCCCCCUCAAACUAAGCAUGGAGCAAUCAAGCUUAGUUUGCUGCACAAGUGGUGACAAUCCCAAACCAAGAAACCUGCAAUGCUUCAAGAAAACAGGACUAUGUAAUCCUUUGGUGAAUACAUCAGCAACCUGAUCAUCUGUUGGAAUAUAAUGAACACUGAUGUCACCUUUUUGUACCUUUUCUCUAACAAAAUGGUAAUCUGUAUCAAGGUGUUUGAUCUUAGAAUGAAACACCAGAUUAGAACUUAAGGCAAGGGCUGACAGGUUAUCACAAUGAAGAGCAGGAGGACUAGGAAGAAAUUGAUGAAUAUCUUUGAACACAGAUCGAAUCCACGACACAUCAGCUGCACAUUGUGCCAAAGCUUUGUAUUCAGCUUCAGUAGAACUUCUGGAUAUUGUAGAUUGCUUCUUGGAUUGCCAUGAAACAGGAUUAGAUCCAAUAUAGACCACAAAACCUGAAAUUGAUCUUCUAGUGUUAAUAUCUGCAGCCCAAUCAGAGUCGAAAUAGGCAGUGAUGUGAACAUUUGAACUUUUUGUAUAGCGUAAACCAUAGCUGAUGGUUCCCUGAAUAUACCGGAGUAUUCUUUUGACCAGAUGAAAAUGUGCAUCAGUUGGUUUUGUCAUAAAUUGACACACCAUAUUCACUGAAUAAGCAAGAUCAGGCCUUGUGAAUGUCAAAUACUGAAGGGCACCAACAAUACUUCGAUAUUGACUUGGAUCAGAUAACAAUGUACCUUCACCAGCAAGAAUCUGUGUGUGUGGCUUGGAAGGAGUAGAUGUGGGCUUACAGGACUCCAUGCCUGCCUUUUUCAACAAGUCUGCUGCAUACUUGGAUUGGUUAAUAAACAGAGACCCAUCAUCAUUGUAAUGAAUAUGUAAACCCAAGAAAUAGCUUAAUCGCCCCAUAUCUUUAAGGUCAAACACUUCUGCCAAGUUGUUGAUUAUUCCUUGUACCUUUAUGGAAUUGGAACCAGUAAGGAUGAUAUCAUCCACAUACAACAGUAACAAAAUAAUAUCUUCAUUAUCAGUCUUGACAAAUAGACUUGUAUCAGAAAGUGAAGGUGUAAACCCAAGUGCUGGAAGAUAGCUUGUAAACUUGGAAUUCCAAGCCCUAAGAGCCUGUUUUAAACCAUAGAGAGAUUUCACUAAUUUGCAAACAUGAGUUGGAUUCUCCUUAUCAACAAAACCUUGGGGUUGCUGCAUAUAUACCUCAUCUUCUAACUUACCAUGUAAAAAUGCAUUUUUGACGUCCAAUUGUCGCAAAGACCAACCAAACUGAGCAGCAAGUGCAAGUAUAAUCCUGACUGUAGUAUGUCUAACAACAGGACUAAAAGUUUCAGAGUAAUCAAGACCAUGUUCUUGUGUAAAUCCCUAGGCAACCAAUCGGGCUUUGAAUCUGGAAAUAGACCCAUCUGGAUUCUUCUUGAUCUUAUAAACCCACUUACUACCAAUUAUCAUUCUAUGUGAUGGAGGUGGAACUAAAAUCCAAGUUCCCUGAGCUUUGAGGGCAUCAAAUUCCUCCUGCAUUGCAUUAUGCCAUUCUUGCUUACUGGCAGCACCUUUGAAAGUUUUUGGUUCUUCAUGAUCAGAAACAUGAGCAAGAAAUGAAAAACCAGCUUGAUAUGGAUGUAAACAUUGAUUAUCAGAACUACAAUCCAUGAGUUGUAAGGAAGACAACUCAGGUAGUAAUGCCAGAUAGUUAGUAUAAAUUUUCCUUGUGAUUGCACCUGCUUGUAACCGAGUCUGCAUCCCAUGAGAUCGUAUCGGAACAUUAUCUGAUGCACUAGAUGAAGAGGAAGCAUCGAAAGGUAGAACUACCUGUAACUGUGCAGGAUCAAAGACAGGAAGCAAGGGAGGUGUAUCAUUGUGAGAUGAAAGAGUAAGGCCUGUUGGUGAUGCCGAUUCAUUGUCCUGAGAAUCGGAGACAACUGCAAUAUCAUUGUGUGAGAUAGAUGGAGACUGAUGUUGACUUACAUUGACCUCAGCUGAACUAGAAGCUUGUGCAAGCACCUGAGACUCAUGAAUUGGACUAUUGACAUACUGUUUGGGCCCAAAAUAACAGUUUGGGCCGAGUGUAGGGUCAUUCUCGGCCCUGGAGGCCUUGCGGCAAGAAUAUCACGGAUCGUUCAGUAUGUGGGCCUCCAAACCCAGGUCGGCUAGGUCAUAACGCAAGAGGUCGAAUCCUAGUGCAAUAAGGACUCUCGACGAGGUCAAUAACCUAGAAAGCGAAUCUGGCUCAGUUAAGGACUAGAUUCGUAGUCCUAGCGGAGAUAGGACUGAUCGAGGGGAUGUUAAUCCGGAGAAGGAGACCUAGUCCGAAUAGGAUUGAAACUCGGGCUCGAUGUGCUGCUACUAUAAAUACAAGCCAUUCAGCAACUGUGAGAGCCCCUGCAAAUCAAUACAAAAUUACCCUGCGCAAACUCUCACAACUUGUGAUUUUUCUUUUCCCUUUUUCGCUGACACAUCUUCCGUUAGCAUUAACAGCACUGUGGAAGCAACCGGUGAUAUCUUAAGUCGGCAUAGAUAGCUCUGUCACCGUAGAGUCAGUCGGUCUCGCAGUAUCUUCCGUUGGCAUCAACAGCACUGCGGCGAGAACGAUUGAUUACCUAUCCAAGUCUCGGUCGAGAAGGGUUUCUAAAUCCUUAUUGGUCGAGGUCAUCUCAUCAGCCUUCUCGGCGAAGUGAGGUGUUACAGUUAUUACAUUCGGCACAUUGAAAGCCGAAUUUGAUAUUGAACUUCGUAAGAAUAGUAACCUUGUCUUCAGGUUCGAGAGCCCAAGAGGCCGAGACGUGUUCCUUUCUCGGCCGCAAUCGCAAGACGCAGAAGUCAGUAGCGCGACCCAACGCAACAUCAACAAAUUUACUCCUCGGCCGAGCUCGGCCGACGAGUUGGCACGCCCUGCAUUCACCGAAGGACGUAGUUAGCUCAUUAAUUACUCGGCCUGCGCGCCACGUAGGCUUUGUAGUUUCUAGGGUCAACACAUACUCUCUGUGAUAUAAAGAAACCGGUAAUCACUGGUGUACAUCUCUGUGAAUCAUGACUUUGUACCCCAAUUGUUGUAACUGCCUUAGGUAAUUUACCAGGAAAACAUGAUUCAUCAAAUACAACACGUCAAGAUAUAAUACACUUCCGAGUUUGCAUAUUAAAACAGAUAACUCCUUUAUACCCCAUAGAAUAGCCCAAAAAUAUACACAUAGCAGAUCUGGCUUGCAAUUUAUUUGCUGCAUAUGGUCUUAACCAAGGAAACACAGCUGAGCCGAAAAUCUUGAAUGAGUGUACAUCAGGUAUUUUCUUAUAUAACAUUUGAUACGGAGAGGACAAUGAAAGAAUCUUACAUGGCAUUCUGUUAAUCAAGAAUACAGAGUGUGUACAUGCAAAAUACCAAAACUCAGAAGUUAAACCAGCAACAUUAAGAAGUGUGAUUGCAGUUUCAACUAUAUGGCGAUGUUUCCUUUCUGCCACUCCAUUCUGUUGUGGAGUGUAUGGACAAGAAAUGAAUGGAAUUAUACCCUUGCUAGCUAGAAAAUCAGUAAAAGUUUUACUAACAUACUCUCAUCCACUAUCUGUUUGCAAACCCUUGAUGUGCACCCCAAACUGAGUAAGUACAAAAUUAUAAAAUCUCACAAAGAUUGUAAACACUUCUGAUUUAUUACGCAUCGGAAAAAUCCACACAUAUCUGGUAUAUUCAUCAAUUAGAGUUACAUAGUACCUAUAACCUUCUAAGGACUUCACAGGAGAAUGACCCCAAAUAUCCGAGUGUAUUUUUUCAAAUGGAGAGGUACAAGUAACUGAUCUAAUUGGAAAUGGAGUUCUAGACAUUUUUCCUUGAAUACAAGAAACACAAACACUAGACUUACUAUCUCUAUCAGCCACAAUAUUCGACUUCUGUAACAUACAAUUCAUGAUUUCAGAAGUGGGAUGCCCUAAUCUCUGAUGCCAAGUGUCACAUUUGAUAGCUUUACCCACAUAAGCAACUGGACUACUUGUAAUAGAAUGUACUCCUCUUUGCCUUUGCACAACCAGAAUCUGGAACAAUUCUUCAAGCUUACUUUUUCCUUGAUACACUAUUUCCCUUGUCUUCUUGUCCUGCACAAAGAAUUCAGAUUCAUCACAUAUAAACCAGCUCUUAUUGUCAGCACAGAGUUGUUUCACAGAUAAAAGACUUCUCGCAAUAUGUGGAACAUGUAAUACUUUGUUGAGAAUAAGAGAGUGAUUGUUAGUUUGUAAAGUAGUUGACCCAAUAAUUUGGAUUGAUAGAUCAGUACCAUUUCCAAUGGUUAUUUUGUCAGAACCCUCAAAAGGUGUGACAUGAUUCAAGGAAUUGACAUCAGCUGUCAUAUGAUGAGAUGCACCGGAAUCAACAAUCCAGGCAUCUUGAGGAAUGAAUUGCGUGGUCUGUUGAGUAUGCAGUGCAGACAAUGAUGAGGGUGGAAGCUGCCCUUGAUAUGAAUAAUUGCUUCUUUGAUAAUAAUCAAGUGCUGAAUGUCCUCUCUUGCCACAGAUUUGGCAUUCAACAACAAAGUUUGAAUUAGAAGCAUUGAUGUUCCUCUGAUAACAGUUGGCUGCAGUAUGCCCCUUUUGUUACAAAUUUGACAUUCUAUCACAGCAUUUGUCCUUGUAGAAGUACUCCCAGACCAAGAAUUAUUACCAUUUUGUCGUGAGUUGCUUAAACCAUAUCCUCAUCCCCUGAAAGUGUUAUUAUUCCUGUAAUUAUUGCCUCUGUAUUGACUCCCAUGUGAUGCUCGAGGUCCAAAUUGUGCUCCCACAUUAAGCUGUGCACCAUGAUUAUUUUGAUCACUAGGAUGACCAAUAAAACCAUAUCCAUACGACUCACCAGGAUACAUAAGAGAUUGUGAUGGUGGAAGAUAUCCUGCUGGAUACUGUGAAGGAACAGGAUAACCAGGAUACUGAAAUGGUGGUAAAGGCAAAGACUGAUGUACUGAAUUUUGUUGACCCUGAGAAGUGGAACCAUAUGGCACUGAAGUAAUUGUUCCCGCAGUACUGGCAGGAAUAUGAUUAUGUGCCUGAGAAUUUGAAGAUGAAGCUGAACUUGAACUAGUGCUUAAACUCGAACCUUGAACAUAUAACGCAGACAAGUUCUGAGACAAAACAUUAAUCUCUCCUUCAAUCUCCCUUUCUGCCCCCAAUAGUUGUGCUCUAAAUUCCUUUAAAGUAAUAGAUGACUCUCUGGCCAAAAUGACUGUACGAAUAAUCCCAUAUUCCUUUGGCAAACCAGCAAAACCAGCAAUUAUUAUGUCAUUGUCAGAUACAGAUUCACCUGCAGCAGUGAGUUGAUCCCUAAUACCUUUCAGCUUCAAGAGAUACUUAUCAAUUGUAUCAGAUCCUUUUUGAAUGGCAUGUAACUCGGUUUUGAGAUGGUUGACUCUAGACUUAGAAACCGAUGCAUAUCUAUCAACCAAAUUGACCCAUGCCUCAUGAGCAGUCCGACAACCAAGAACAUAUUCCAUUGCAUCAUCAGUUAAAGUGGCAAGAAGUAAACUAAGCAACGCCAUAUCUGUAGACUCCCAAUCCAUAAACGCCUCAGUAAUCUCCUUUGUAACCCCAGCUUCUGCAUUAACCACAUACUUUGAUGGACACACAGUUGUGCCAUCGAAAUGACCAAACAAUUUAUACCCCCUCAAAACAGACUGAAAUUGAAACGCCCAUUUGGCAAAAUUAUCAUCUCUUAGUUUAAUGGUAAGCAUACCCAGUAUUCCAUCGACUUUAAAAGGUGAACUACCCAUGAUUAUCUUCAAGCAAUAACAACUAAUUACCAAUUGAGAUUAUGCACAGAGACUGACACUCUGAGAAGAAAAACUGACACUUUCUUGAACCCACAAUUUUCAACUUCUUGACUAAGAAAGAUUGACACUUUCUUAAACACACAACUUCUGGAUUUAGAAGGAAUGACACCUUCUUGAAUGCAUGAAAGAAUGACACUUCCAGCAAAACAAUGCUUUCUAAUUAUCGCAGCAAAUCAACAUAUACAAAUCAACAAAAGAAUCCAACUCUAUCAAAUCAUUACUCUGCUCAAAUUGAAGAAAUGAAGGAAUCAGAAACCACCUGAACCGAAAAGAAAAUCAGAACCACCAAUCUUGCUUCAAUCGCACACCACCUUCAUCAACCGCACACUAAUGAAGCGACGAACAGCCACCAAACCGAACCACCAAUGAAGCGACGAACAGCGGAGCAAACCAGGAUCAAAAUCAGUGACUAACCCACACCGGCGAUGAUACCAUAUUAACAAAGAGAAAGGAAAGAAUAGCUUGUGAAAAACUAGAGAGAGAAAGAAACCAAAGAGAAUACUAAAAUGUUCAAUUUCUUUAGAGAGAUGAAAAGAUGAUUACAAACGCCUUACACAUUUCGUUUAUGUAGAGAAACUAACUAUUACAAAAGUACAAUACUACCCUUCUCAUAUUCUUUAUCUUUCUAACAACCCAAUCCUACUUAACAAACUUACAACUGUAUAACCAACUAUUAUGAUUAUUAAGGGCAACACUCUUCUUCACCAUUAUGGUAGAUGAUCGCUUACCCUAAUUUUAAAAUAUAUUUUUGUCAAAUAGCUUUGCUUAUAUUUUUCUUUUUGGUUUUUUGUCAGAAGAUUACUUUGAUUAUAUAAUUAUACAGUCACUUUCUUUGAAUUCAACCACUAUAUAAUGAUUAAUAUAUAAGUUCUUAUCUCCUUGUUCCUCAUAUUUGCCGUAUAUUCAGUCAGAUCUCGAGAAGGGAUCUGUGUAUUCAUGGCAAAUCCCAAGCUGAGAGCACUUUGGAACCACCCAGCUGGCCCUAAAACUAGUUUGUUUACUUACUCUACAAGUUUUUACUAUUAAUUUUCUGUUGGUUAUUUAGUUAUAUUGUUCUUAAUUUCUCAAUGAUUAUCGUUGAUGGAUUGUUGAUCUUAAUCGAUCAUUUCGUGUUAAUCCGCUAGGUGGUGCUUGAUUAGUAUGAAAGUUAUUGAGAUUAAAGAACAUGUGGUUGAGAUUAUUGAUUUCUUAAGUGAAAACUAAAACUCUUAACGAAUUUUAGUGCAUAACUGACUUUAGAACAGCUUUAACUAAUGAUUUUGUGAAUUGUGUAGUGAAACUCAGAUUUGAGAGUAUUUUAAAAGCCUUUAAAAUCCUAGUGUAGUCAAUUAAAAGAUUUUAAAGGAUUUUAGAAUCCAUUCAAAUCUAGGUAUAGUCAAUUAAAAGAUUUUAAAGGAUUUUAAAAUUAAUCCAAAUCUAAGUGUAUUAAAAAAAUUAAGAUUUUGGAGGAUUUCAAUAAGUUGUGGAUUUUGUGGGAUUUGAGAGUAAGAAGUAUAUAUACCAAGACUAAAAAGAAUUCAAUCUCACCCCCUAUGAUUUCAAAUCAUUUUCCAUCUGGGCAGUUCUCCAAUCUCUACCAACCCCAGCCACAUGUAACCACCAUAUACUUUGGUGGAAUCUCUUAUUAUGACCCUUAUACCUUAAUUAGGCAUGUAUGAUCAUCGAAGGACAUGAUCGAUCUAGGAUUUUGGUUAAUACUACUCUCUCACCAUUAAUAUAUGUAGUACUACAAGCACUACUGAAGUACCAUAGCAUACGUCUAUGGCAAAAGGGCAGUCGGUGGUGAUGGUUGUUGGUGGUGUAGUGCUCAAAAGCUCACCAAUUAUGUUGAUCUAUCAAUUGAUAAAGAGAUGGAGCCGUGAUUGUGUGAAAGGGGACCCGAAAAGGGAGGGGAUAAAGUAGCUAUCGAGUAUAGUAGGUCAAGGGGAAAGAUUUUUCCUUUUUCUUUUUGAUACAAAAAUUAUAUGAAAAUCCACCAAAAUCUACAAACUAAAUCCAUUCAAAUUCUUUAAAAUCCAUAUGAAUUUUGUAGGAGUAUUAAAUCCUCCUAAAUCCUUUAAAAUCUAUCACUUCUAAAAUCCUUUAAAAUCUUAGUUUGACUACAGCCUUAAACUCAAUGAUUUGAUGGCGUGGGCUUGUUCACGCGGCAUUUUGCCCGCUAUAGUUUUGCUCUUUUGAACUUGUUGAUUGGUCAUCUUUAUGAACUUGGUAUAUUUCCUUUGUUUCUUGGUACUCAACUUUAAUGUAAAGUUAAAGUUUAUCUGAUGAUGAAUAUAAUUUUUUUUUAUGAAAAAAUAAAAUUCAAUUAACACUACAUGAUUAUACCAUUUACCCCGGUUAGUCUUAGAAUAUAUGGAGUUUUAAUAAAGAAAUUGUAAUAUAAAAAAUUGUCACAAAAAGAAAAAGAAAAAAAAGAAAUUGUAGAUAGAACUCAGCCUCUCAUAUAUUAAAAGGUUUUCUGUGUGUUUAAUUUUGCAGUCCAUUUCUGGGCCCCAACAUUUAAAUGGGGUCUAACCAUUGCAAAUAUUCUCGACUCAGCAAAACCACCAGAGAAACUAUCCUAUCCUCAGCAAUCAGGUUGGCCAUGACUCCCUAAUUUGUUUGAUGGACUCAGGUUUUUCGACGCUUCUACUAAACAACCAGAUAUAUAUUUCUUAUUUUCUAUAUAUCUCAUUACGUGAUCUAACGGCUAUCACAUAAUGAGAGUACUGGGAUUUGUUUAAUGGCCCCGGUCUUUCAAGGCUUCUACCAUACAAUCGGAGAUAUAUUUCUUACUUUCUAUAUAUCUCAUUACGUUACCUAGCCACUAUCACUAAUGAGAAUGUUGAGAAUGUUGAGACAUAUAAGAAGAAAGGGAUAUUAUCGCCGGGGCAGUCAAGAAUCUCCCAUCUUAUCAUUUUGUCGAAAAGUUUACUUACUGGUUGGUAAUUGUUUUUGGUUGAUUGGUAAUUAUUUCAUUAAUUUACUUACUGAUAAAAACUUUUGGCAUCCCCAUUUGAUGAUCUCCAGCCCUUGCAUCCACCGGACUUAUAUGGGCAAGAUACAGCGCAGUAAUUACACCAGUAAUUGACUCUAAACCUCAAGUUAUUAAUUAAUUACAUCAACAGUUUACUGUAUAAGUUUGAGAUAGAUUUUCACAUCCUCAUAGUUUGUCCAUUUUGAGAUUGCAGAAGAAUUGGAAUCUUUUGAGUGUUAGUUUCGCGAUGUCUGUAACCGCUAUGUAUCAACUUUCGCGUAAAAUUCAGUAUGUUGUCAUGUGCUCUCGUAUUGAAAAUUGUUCUUAUAGCGCAAUUAACUGCUCUCGUAUUUGUGUCUUGUUUUGAAUGGCAAGUAAUUACAAUGAAUUGACUGUCACCAAUUUUCAUAUUUUCCAGGCAUGACUUAUCCACCAAAAACCAAGAAGUUGCUGCAGAAGAAUGAAUAAAAUCUCAAUUAUAGUAAACUUGGCGUGCUAGUUUCGAGUUGAACGCACUCUGAUUCGAGUCAUGUAACACUUAUAGUAAAACAUAUUCGUUCUCAUGGAUUAAUGUUCAUUAAUGUUGGAUUAUGUUUGAACCUCAUGGUUCAAUUAAGACCAAUGAAAAAUAUUUUGUAGCAUAAUUUUGUUUAUACAAAGCGACAUCUUUAUUCGGCACAUUUACAUAGAGCGCAUGCAAGCCAUUGAGAGAAGCCUAAUUCCGUAGUAAAGAGUAUUUAUCCGCACACUCGUAGCAGGCACUAACAAGGGCUAUGUGCCUAGAGAAAGUACACGAUUAUUUAUUCGCAUAUUAUUCGUGUACUUUAAAUAGGAAAGUUAUUAGCAUUCUUAAAAAUAAAAAAAAACAGUUUAAUCAUUAAAGUUCCGUUGGUUAGACAAGGAGCGAGUUGAUAUGGAUGGUUUAGCAUUAAGGGCCACGUCCCAAGAAAAUGCUCGAAAAAUUGAUAAAAAAAGAAAAAAGAAAAAUCUAGAAAGAAAAUCAAAUCUAGGAAAUGUGGGAAUUGAAUCCCCUCCUAAGCAAAUGUUGGGGAUCCUCAUAACUACACAACACGAGCCGUUUAUUUUGAUCAUACAGUUACAAUUAUUAUAAUUUGUAAAGGGACCUCUUGUUUGUUGUGUGGUCAUGAGGAUCCCUAAAUUCAACGGUUACAAUUAUUAUAAUUUUUAGAGAUACCUCUUAUUUGUUGUGUGGUCAUAAAAAUCCCAAAAUCCAACGGCUAUAAUUAUUAUAAUUUUUAAAGAAAUCUCUUAUUUGUUGUGUGGUCAUAAAGAUCCCCACCAUUUGCUCGAGGGGAUCCAAUUCCGGAAUGUGUUCAGUCAACACAGUUGCAGUUUCUCUUCCCACUAAUCCCUAUGGCGAUACGCUAGCACAUACGUGACACGCGGUCAACGACGCACAUCCGUUAAUUCUAGCGGCAAUCCCAACCAUAACCACUAAAGUACGCCGCCUCUUAUCCUACGCUCCCAUGCCUAUGUAACCAAUUGAUCGUCCAAAUUAUUUUACUUGCAUUUUUGCUCACCACCAUCAUAAACUAUGGUGUAUGCUUACCAUACACCUAAUCAAUUGACACAUGUCAUUUCACUUAACUCUAGUUAACUUUCACAUUAAAUGUUAGUUUUUCAAUUUUGAAAAAAAUUAACCAAGAUUAAGUGAAAUGAUACGUGUCAAUUAAUUAGGUGAAUGGUGAGCUCUAUGUGGUGAGCAAAAAUGCUCCCUUUUUUUUUUACGCCAAAAGCAUUUUUGCCUGAUAUUUAGGACAAAGCCAAUUCUCAGAAAAUCCGCUUCUCAGAAAAACCAGAGAGAGCUCGAUCAUAAUCUGAGUAAGUCAUCUUCUUAAAUUACGAAUUAUGUUUCCAUAAUCUCUAUGAUUAAUGCUUAAUUAGUUCCGAAAAUCUCUGUUCAAUUCAAUUUACUUCAUUUAUUUCUGUGAAAACUGUGUGCUCAUUUCUCAAAUUUCUUAGCUUUGAGCUGACUUUCGUUGAGAUUUGAGAUGAAUUUUAUGUGGGUUUUGUUGGGUUUUUUUUCUUUGUCAGUGGAUAAAGUUCAAAACUUUAUGUGGGUUUUGUUUGUGAUUUAAUAUUUUGAUGGUGGUACUGAAAAAAUGAUUCUUCUUCUUUUGAGAUAUUGAAAAGACUGGUAAUUUUGGUUUAUUGGUAGUUCUGGAUAAAUUGUUAUGUAUUAAAAGUUGAAAUAUUUGGGUUUGUAGGAUAACAUGGAAGAUCCACAAGUGGAGCACAAUCUUUGGGUCUUAUGGAGAGGAAAAAGGUUUGAUGUGAAGAUCCAUUUGGGUGCCACUCUUAAGGAUCUCGGGCACGAACUGCAAAAGUUAACGGAUGUUAAAGCAGAUACGAUGAGGCUAAUUGUUCCAAAGUUUUCCGAUAAAAGCUCGAAAAUGUUGUCUCCUUUCUCUGAUGAGCAUCAGAACUUGAGUUUACAGGAAGCUUCAUUUGUUGAGGUAUCUUCUGAAUACUUAAAACAGUUACCUAGAUAUUGCUAUUUGCUACUACUUUUGGAGUUUGGUGGUUCUACUUGUUUUUAAGACGCGAUAACUGCCCUAUUAUUUUUUGUGAGUGACUUAGACGACAAGAAAACUUUAGAGCCCUUCUAAUUUAUAUUCAAGUUUCAUAAAUGAAUAUGUGCAAUGAAUGUAGUGAAGGGGAUAAAAUGGAUGUAACUUUGAUGGAUUAAAUUUCUAUAACUGAACUUUUGGAGUUCUUGCAUGCCAACUGAUUGAUUUGUUCUUUUUCAGGGAAAGUCCAUCAGAAUGAUGGGAGUGUCUGAAAACGAGGUUGAUGAAGUUUUACAAAAUGCAAAGGCAAACUUGGAGGUUGGAAGUUCACACAAACUUCAGAAGAACCCUGAUAUGGAGCCUGAUCCUGAUGCCCAGUCUGACAAUCAGAACAAGUUUGAGCCCAGUCCUCAUGAUUCUCAGGGCACUGAUGAAUCAUCAUCUCAAUUUACGGGAAGCUGGACCUUAUUUGGAAAAGAAUUCAGUGAGUCUAUGAUCUGUCAACCUGAGUUAGCAGGGACCGAGUCUCGUGAAGAACCAGAUCCUGAUAAUAUGGAUAAUAUGGAAAGCAGGGGGCAAGCAAGGAAUAACGUGGACGAACCUGAUCCUGAUGCCGAGGAUGCAAAAGCAGAUAAUUUAGGAUAUAGUUCCUAUAGAAAUAUCAUAAGACCUAACGACGACAGUUCUUUGGUUACUGAAACCAUCAAACAUGAAGACGAUCCAAGGAAGGCUUAUAAUGAACCUGAUCCUGAUGAUUCCCAGUCAAAUGGAGUCACUCAGGCAGAGCCUGAUCCUGAUGCUAAUUUGGUGCAUCCACAGGAAACAUCCAGAAUGCAGAUUGAUGAACCUGAUCCAGAUGAUCAAGAAUUUCAAAGAAUUCAAGACCCUGUUACAAUCUUUUGUAAACGCUUGCAGGAGAACAUUAAGAUGCUGGAAGCUGAGGUUAAUCGUGCACAGCCUACCACUGUCCUCCAAACUCUCUUAAAGAUAAUAAGGUAUAGUAAUCUAGUUUGAUUAACUUGUAGCCUUUCUCCGUACACGUAAAAAGUUUCGGGCAGCAUAUACCAGCUGGUUUAAUCUUUUUAGAAACGCCAUGUGAUAGGGUCGCGGUUAUAUUGAACUUGUUGCUCUGAAGCAAUGUAGAACUCAGGUAGCACAUGAAGUUGAUAGAAGAUAGAAGAUGCAUUGUUGGGUCAUCUGUAAACCUUUGUGCGUUGAGAUGUUGAUUGUGGCUUAUUCAUACACUUUUUUUUUGUAGGAAUGUGCUUGAACACCCAGGUGAGACGAAAUACAGGAAACUUUGCAAGGUACGGACAUUGUUACCAGUAAUAAUCUUUCAUUAAAUUUAGCUUGAACAGGUGGAGUUUCCUCUUAAACGUUUCUCCUAAUAGUGAUGGAUAUACAUUGCAGGCGAACUCCACAAUCCUAGGGAAUGUGGCAAACUACAAAGGUAUGCAACUUCCUGUACAUUUAGAUUCUGUAUUUAUUGAUCUGGCUUGGUGAAAUUUUCCCAUCUUUAAAUGGGAACCCUGAAGGGUUGGAUAAUAAUCACAGGACGGUCUAAUGAUCGAGCUGCUGUAGCUUUGUGAUAAACUUUUUUGUUUUGCCCUUUUUCAAUUUUGCAAUAACAGCUGCCAUGGAAUUCCUUCUUCUGAUUGGCUUCAACGAAAGCGUCAUGGAUGGAAAACAAGAGACUUAUCUUGUGCUGAAGCGGGAUGAUCCGGGAUUAUUAUGGCUUGCCAAGUCCGCCCUUGAGGCAAGCGUUUCCUGAAGACACAUUUCCAAGCAAAAAGUCUGCUCUCUCUCUGUGAUCUCUAUGGUGUUGUGUUCCAUGUAAAUAUGUAAUGCAUGCUUGGCUGUAGAACAAUUGUUGUGUAUAUGACUACUGGGCAUAAAAUCAUGUCAGGUGAACAUUGAAAUAAAAAUAAAAAUGGCUGUUUUAGAUUUCGACGCUGCUCACUGCCCGUCGCACACCGCUCACCAACUAGUUUUCGGUGGAGUGGUACUUAUCUUGCUAGAUAUACACGAAGAGGUCUCAAGUUCGAACUGCAUUUGCGUUUGCAAUAACACACCCAAAAAUAGAAGUGCAUAUAGUGAAAGAUAACUUUUGUAUUGGAUCAUACGUUAAUGAAGAAAUACAACUCCACUUACAGAAAUGAAACCAGAGAAAGAAAAUGACAACUUCCUUUAUCACCCUGUCAAAUCUUAUAAGCUUAAAAAGUAUGAGCAGUCACUCCCACUUUACAUCCAGAUAUAAAUAAAACUCAUCCGAGUCGGGAUACUUUGCUCCAACAGUUUGAUCCGUAAAAGGGGUUUAAGAAACAGGAAAACUCAAGAACCAUCCAUUGGAAUAUCACAGGGGUUUGAAUUCUGCGGGUUUGCACUGCAAGCGCUUGCUGAGAUGUUAUUUUGAGGCUGGCUGGCCCUGAAUGUAAAGUCUUGAGGAGGAAUGGCUAAGGGAGGCCGGGCAAAAACGGAGGUAGCACCAACAUUGUUAAAUGUAGGGACGGGAACUGGAUUAUUGGAUCUUGGGAAGCCAAAGCUAAACAAAGGUGCAGCUGCCGGUGGGAAGGCUGGUGGGGUUGGGUUGCUCUUAUCAGUUGAUCCAAAGAUCUUUUCCUCAUACUCCUGCAGUUGCCGGUAAUAAGCUGCAUCCACAAACACAAAUGAAAGUCAGAGAUGUAUAAUUGUCCAGAACAAGUGGGCACUACUUUCAUGCACGAACAUUGCUAGGUAAUAUUCAGAAGGUUUGACAAACAUGGCAGUCCACCAUUUGCAUUCUGCUCCUUCUAAGAAAUGCCGAAACAGACCUUCAUUGCAUACCUUCAGUUAAUUCAACAGCUGGUCUCCGUUCUUUCACCCACUGGUAACUCAGUGCUAGUCUCCAUCCUCUAGACUUCAUCAAAUAAGCAAUUACAAUAGCCGGAGACCUGUAAAAAUGAACAUAGUUAUUAUCUAAAAAACAAACAAAAAAAUUUGAUGAUUAAUAUUUCAUAAAAACCAAUAGGCUGGUGGUUUAGCAAUAUAUUAAUUGCUUGUGCUAUGUGAUGCAAUCUUUACGGAACACUCUAGACACUAACUACAACAACAACAAAGCCUUUUCCCACUAAGGAGGGUUCGCUAUAUGAAUCCUAGAAUGCCAUUGCGCUCGGUUCUGUGUCAUGUCCUCCGCUAGACACUAACUAAAACGAAAAAAACAUCAUUUUCAGUAAUUCACCUUUUUUGCCCUGACAUGCAGUGUACUAAAACGCGAGCUUUGUCCCUUUCACAUUGCUCUGCAAGAUUAAGCACAGUUUCACUUCGAUAAGCAAACAAUGCAAAUUUGAAAUGCUAAUUAUACUAAGAAUAUCCAAGCUAGCAUCAGCAAUUCUGAAAUUCAAUAGCGAAGCCAUUCACUAAUAAGUAUUAAAAUUUUCAGGUCGGUUACAGUAAUUAAAUGCUAUAAAUCACUUCAGUGAUGUUCUGCAACCAAAACGCACAAUAGCUCAGUAACUGCAGAGCAUGGACCAGUUAUUUUUUAUAUUAACAACCUAGUAGAAUGUGGUUCGCGUAGCUCAUCUAAAAUUGAUCAAUUUAAGAUUAAAAGAAAUAUUCUUCCAACAAAGUAUCAGAAAGGUGCUAGACUGCCAGUAUGAAUAAGGCCUGUCUCGUUAUUGCCCUUUGUCCAUAUCUUGAUUCUAAUUGUCAAUUGGGGAAGCUGACAUGUAAACCUAUGAGGUUGCAAAUCUGAACCAGUGGACAGUACCAGAAUGUGACAGGUGAAUUCAGAUAUUUGGUCAAAUAAAGCAAGAACUUAAACAUGGCGGCAGUUAGGUAAGUGUGAAUCAAGAAAGCAUUCUGUGUCGUGUUAUCAUAAUGAUCAAAACAGGGCCAAGGAAAAGGUCUGGGAAACAUAUCAAAUUUAACCAUCAACCAUCCAAUCACCAAAAAUAAAAAACUAUUAAUAAUCCUAUUCAUCAAAAUCCAAUCCGUUAUCAUAUAAAGAUCCCACAUUAAAGAACCCACCAACACAAAUAUCUUAAUGUUCCCGUAACCAAGUUUCAGUGGCUCCGUACGUUCUUUGACUUAAAUACUAUGCCAGGAGGGAAGUCCAUAGAAAAAUUAUGAACCAAUUGAAGUAGCAAAUGUACUCAGCUAAACUUAAGGCGACAGUGAACAAUAUGUUAAAUGUGUGCAUGUAAGCAAAUGAUGCAAACAGUAGGUCACAACAGCUAUAUAUGAAGACUGAGUUUAAAAGGCAAAUCAGUAUUAGUGAAAAUUAUGAGCCAAAUAUCCCAGAAUCAAAACCAUAUAAUGAGCUGAAAUCUAGAAUACAAUAAACAACAUAUGUGAAUUCAUUAUGGUCAAAAAGAGAAAGUACACACCUAAAAAUUGAUUUGCAUCCUCAAAUUGCAAAAUCUUGUCAUCUUGGAGGUAGUGAUAAGUGAAAGAGUUCUUGUAGAGAUUUUGACAAGCAGGAACCGUCUGCAUAUAGAGGGAGAAAAACAUCACACCAGAAUGUCAAGACUUCGAAUGUUGGAGACUGAAUUACUAUUUCAACCAAAACAAUACGACAAGUAAUCUACGAAUAUUAGCUCAGUAGUAAAGAUCAUCAAAACCAACCCAAUGAUCAUAAAUCGUCAAGGUCAAAUAGUGAAACCUAAGUCAUUAUCCAAGUCCAUAUCUAUUCAUAACCCUAGACACAGCCUUAAUCCACCUUUCUUACUUCUCAUAUGAAAUUAUAUCUUCUAUUGCAGAGGAGUUAACCACCUAUGUGACCACUACAGAGCUUAUCCUUGAAUGCUACUAUUCGCUUCUUCAUGUUCGCUAUCUAUCUCAACAGCCAACUACUUCAAUCUAAGAGACAAGCUAACUUUUGAUCUCAACCAUUCCGUUUAACAAUGGAUGCUCUUGCAGCUAUCUCAUUGACUUCCCUAUUAUUUACAUAAACAAUGCAACAAAAGCACUUCCUCAUACCGCAGAUAAAAUUUCAGCUUUGGCAUCUCUUAUCCAUCAUAAAUACAGUUCUCCAAAAGCACAACUAAUUUGCACAAAUCAACAUACGAAAACAAAUUCGGCUACAGAAAUCGAACCUAUAAACCAAACUGAUCCAUUCCAAAUAGCAAAACCGAACCAGAAACGCAGUAUCGUAUUCACAAUUCUAUAACCAAAGCAUACAAAUCAAAAGUACAAAAUCUUACAUUUAGGACACGAGAUAUUCCCUGAGUCUUGAGAAGUUCAGAGCGAGAAGCGUUAUCGUAGCUGCCCAAAUAGAGGAACUCCGGCAAGAUCUCAGACGGAAAAGCACUAACUUGGAUCGAAGUUCUCUCAGAAACCGCCGGCAUUCUAUGGCCGCAGACCCCACAGACCUCCCCUUCUUCGUAUUUGUGAUAGUGCCCACAAACCCCACAUGGAUUCUCCCUCUCCCUCUUCCUCAUACCCUAAUUCCAGCGAGAUUACGCACCGACCCAGGUGAGAGAACGAAUUCCAAAUCACAAAACAAGCAGAACCCAGAUCAAAAACCAGAGAAAUCGAAGUGGGUUCCUCAAAGAUUGUGUCUUUGAUAAAGACUAAGGUGGGAAAAGAAGAGAGGGAGAUUUAUAGAGAGAGAGAGAGAGGGGCAGAGAGAGAAUUAGAAGGCGUUACAAGGAAGCGUCGUUUUUAUCAGAUUUAUGAAGAUUUAUGAGCUCUCGGAUUCGCGCUUUGGCUUUUGGGCGUCACUCACUGACAAAGCUUUCCUUACUGGCGGUGGGAGACAAUACAGUAGAAGAGAGAGAGAGAGAGAGAGAGAGAGAUAGAUAGGGUGGGGAGGAGAGAGAGGGGGGAAAUCACUUCAGUACGUGUUUAUCCAUAUUGUGUAUAUACUAUUUCAUUCCCUAUUUAUAAUGGAGAGAGAAAUAUGAGAGAGAUUUUGGUGUUGGUGUGAUUUUUUGAUUGAUGCCUUGCUUGUUCCUUGUUCUUGCUGAAGGCUGUGCAGAAAAGCCAGACUUCCUUUUCUUUUGAUAAUUCAAUCCACAGGGGGUUAUUUUCUGCAAAGCCCCACGGCCCCACCCAUAUUAGUACCCAAUCAUACUGUUCCUUUGGACCACAUAUUAUGUGGAGCCCAUUUACAGUUUUCUCCAAUUAUGUGACGACAUGUGGAUUAGUAUUCAUGACUCAUGGCAGCUUCUAGUUUUUUCAUUGUCUUUGUUUUUGGACAUGAACAACUCACAUGGAUAAUGGAGAAAGUUACUGACAAUUUCUUUAAGAAAAAAUAUGACUUUUACAAACCUCUUUUGGUUUUCACACAUCUUUGUUUAAACAUGAUGUCGAAUUCCGUUUGAUUUAUCCGAUUCAAUUAUUAAAAAUAUAGAGGAUUGUGUAAAAAGCUAAAAGUUUUUGUCAAAGAAGUUUACCUAUUAUAAACUGUCAUGACAACGGUAUUUCAACUCAAUUAUGUAAUUAAUCAAUUUCCCCUUGUACUUGUAAGGAUUGGCUAAUUCCCCCUCCCCUCAACUUUAAUUUUGGUCAAUUUACCCUCCUUAACUCUCAUAAUUAGUCAAUUUGCACCAUACUGUUAAUUUUUUUAAUUUUCCAUCUAUUCUUUCGUUAAUUAAGUAUCCACAUGACUACCUUUGAAAGGCAAAAAAAAGUCAAUUUGCACCCUACUGUCAUUUUCCAUUAAGUAGUUUCCCUACACCUUACUAGAGGUAGACGAGACCGAGAAAGGAGGCGAUGGGGUGUGGGCAGCUGCAAACUGCAAAAGUAGCAUAUCAAAUUGACUGGGCUGCAAACAGCGGAGGAGGGAGGCGUUGGCGGCAAUCACGGGCUCAGCUUGGAGAAAAGGAAGAAGAACAUAAAUUUUGAAGAAAAGGAAGAAGAUAGAAGGUGUAGGGGAAAUGACUUUUUUGCCCUUUAAAGGCAGUCAUGCAGAUACCAACUUAACUUAAAAAUAGAUGGAAAAUUAAAAAAAAUUAAUAGUAGGGUGCAAAUUGACUAAUUAUGAGAGUUGGGGGGGGGGAUUGGCCAAAAUUAAAGUUGAGGGAGUAAAUUGACUAAUUAUGAGAGUUGAUGGGGCGAAAUUGGCCAAUCCUUACAAGUUCAGGGGGUAAAUUGAUGAAUACCUCAUUAGAAAAAUUAUAGCAUUCAACGUCAAUAAUACAAACACAUGCCACAUCUAUAUAUUUAUCUACAAUACUAUAUGAUAUAUUAUUGUAUCAUUAACACGAAGCAUUAUUAGAAAAACGUAACUAGCUUUACUGAUUUUGGUGCACCCAGUGGCUAGGCCCAAAGUCAAGCCUAGUAAGAUAUCUCAACGAAACAAUUGUUUAAAAAAGUUGAACCCAAAAAAAGCCACGGCCAUUGCUGGCGCUCUGAAAACAAUGGCUUUUCCCGCUUGGCACAAACUCUUCACUCGUCACUUGUCCUUUUAUUUCUUCGACCCCCUCCACCUCAUCGUUCUCGCAGAGUCGUUGUCACAUGUACUUUCUAUCUCCUCCCUUUUCUGUCUCUCAUUCUCUCUGUAAUCUUAGCUUGGUACGCUCUGGUAUGCAAGGUUGGGCAUGGUGACGCCAUUGGGUUGCGGGGUGGAGACGAUGUGGAAGAGAUUCAUAGAAGGCGAUUGCGUAAGGGCACCGACCCCUGAAGAUAUCACGAUGAACAACUUUGAUUCAAACACCCAAUCGUACACCUUCGACAAGCUCACCUUCAAGGUUGUUGCAAUCGUGCCCUGUGGAAGUAAACCAAGUGAAUUCAACGAGGAAUUCUAUGUGAUUUCGAUGCAAUGUUCAAACUAGCAAAUGCCUUCUCCAUGCUACUCUCACCAUGCCUAUCAAGUCUUUGUUCAUAACCCUUUAAAAUGGCAACCACAUCCUGAGCAUCUAUGGUUUCCAAAUCCUUAGUAUUUUCUAUCACUGCUGCAAUACUAUCAUACGAUUUAGGCAAGCUAAUUAACAGUAUCUGGACAAUUCUUUUAUUACUCAGAUUUUCACCAUAGCUUCUUAUUUGAUUAAUCAGAUCAAAUAGUUUAGCAAUACACAGAGAAGGAUUCAUUAUCAUUCAUGUGAGUAUAUUCAAAAUCUCGUCUAAGACCUUGAAGUUUCACAUAUCUUACUUGCUUAUCAGUUAUCACCAACAAAUUCUUGUUUCAGAAUAUCCCACGCAGCCUUUGCACUUUCCUGGGUUGCGAUCCUCAGGAAAAUUUGAUCUGAAACAACACCUUAGAUGAUUCCCAGUGCUCUAGCAUCCUUGACCACAUUCUUUUGUAUCCGCUUCUUAUCCACCUCCGUAAGCUCAUCCUCCUUCUUCGUUGGAAUAUCAUAGCCCUUCUUAACCAGAUCCCACAACUCAUGUGAAUGGAAAAUGGUCUUCAUUUUGAUUUUCCAGAAAUCAAAAUUCUCACCAUUAAAGACUGGUGCUCUGAGUUCUCCUCCUCCAGAUCUAGCCAUGUUAGACUCGAUCGCAGAUACAAGCUCGAAUCAUCGCAAUGAGCUUUUGCUGUGAAUCCGAGCUCAAUCCUACACACAGAGACGACGCCCAUAGAAUUUAGACCUAACCUGGCUCUGAGGCAAUGUUAGUGAAUUCGAAUUAAACAAGAAUUAUAACAGUGUUUAUGGAAGAGAAACCCAGAAAACUUGAGCAAGAAGAAGAAAUGUGAUUAGAAAGCUCAGAGGAUAUCCCUCUGCUAUUCUCCCAUAUAUUUCGGACACACAUUCUAAGCAUGUGAGCUCAUACACCAACAAUAUAACCGUUGGAGGUGAGAAAAAGAUAGACACAUCUCUAAAUUCAAUCUCAGCCAUCCAUUUCAUACUACACUGAGAUUAAGACACUUGUCCAUUAUCAAGCCCUAUGAGACUUAAUCAACACAUUACAUUUUUAACACACAAGCUCAGCCUAUGAGCUAAAGCACAACACUAAUCAGUUCAUCAAUCUACGCACUAACAGUUAUCCCUGCGGACUUUUAGUGCUGCAAAAUAUCUAACUAGUUUAAAUUUGGAGCAUGUGGGAAUACAAGGCUUCUCUGGUCUUGUACAACAUUUGUCAUUAACGUCAUGUGUUAUGCGGAGCAGGGUCUUUCUUUUUCCAGAAUCCAGCCUCAAAUACUUGGAAAUUAUAUAAUGCGCUGGUGCCAGGUUGAUUGUAGUUCGUGCUAUGUAUCUCGAAUCUUUUAAAUUUGUUUCAGGUUCAGAUCAAAGCUGGAGAAUGAGAUUGGAAGAGCUCGCGAUCAUGGGAGCUAAGAACCUGAGAAAUUUUGUUUUAUGUGGAAGCAAAUUCUAUGUGAGGGAUGCCUUUAUUAAUCCAAAAGUAACGUUUUUCCUUUUUAAUGGUUUUGUGAAGUCGAUCUCUUCAAUUAAAUUGGCUCCUACAGGCUCAUCAGAACACUUAUCUGCGCUGAGAGAUUAUCUCGAAAGUUUUGAUUGCUCCGAAGACAUGUCCCUCUAUAUUCAAGAUGCCAAGGUAUAUAUAUCGGUCACUUUACAGUUUGUGUAUUUAUUCAUCUAAUAUUCCACGUUCUGCAGUUGAUUCCUUACUAAAAAUUUCCUUUUUAAUUCUCUGUGUUGUGUGAACGGUGUAGUCCUUCAUCUUUCCAGAGAGUUUCAGAAAGACCUGCUCUCCACCAUUGCGUAAUCUCAAACAUAACGUCACGGCCAAGAUGCCUCCGGCAACUGAGGCAGAAGAUUCCGAGUUGAGGGGCUCCUUGCUUUGGAUAGCACCUUCUGCAUAUAUACCACAAAUCGAACACUGGACAUAAUGAAAUGGAGGACCGAUGAUUUUUAGUUGUUUUCACUUUCGAAGUUUAGGGUUUAAUACAAUCUUCUUCAUUUAUUCGAAGUUUAGACUUUCAGUUAAUCUCUAGCACAAAAGAAAUUAAAAUUUUUGACUUCUUCAUGUGAAUGGUUUCGUUGAAGACAGUUCGUAUUCACUUCAGUAUGAACUAAUUUCAUGCAGUAAUUAAUGGAUGAGUAUACGUAAACUGUUUUCCCGCAAUGAAUGAAAUUAAAUCGGUUGAAGACCAUUAACCAUGUAGCAACUAGCAAGCAGUUUUCUCUAACAAAACCAUGUACACCGGAAUUGUUACAAACGUAGAACAAGUUAUACGUUACAAUUUCUCACAUUCAACGAGCGGAAGGGUUCUUCUUCUUCCCUCUCAUCCUUACAUACGAACAUUGAACUGCGCUAUUCAAAAAGGAACGCUGAGGCUUUAAAUCCUCGUAAGGAAAGUCCAGGUCACGAAUGAUGUAUGCAUUUAGACAAAGUUGUGCAGAAGCCAUUUAAGACUGAUUGCGAUGCCGCAUAUAUUACGUCCCUGCAGACCAUGAUUCUUGAACUCGAGCGUUUUGAAGGGUGAAGCCGUGAAUGAUUGGUAAAGGGAAUUCCUUGAGAAAACCGAGACACUUUUGGGAGAUGACAACGGAUGCGAAGGCUUGGUCGGCAGCUUGGACUUGCAGGUGGGUCGGCGGUGAAGGGAAGAAGGAAGCUAUGAGGAGGAAGAGAACAGUUGGUGGCGCCAUUGAAGUGUCUGGAGAAGAGAAGACAAAGAGGACUGAUUCCUUAUUUUUUUUUUUUUGUCUUGGUUUUGGCUUCGGCGCAAGGACAAACAUCGAAAAGAGCGCAAAGAUUUAACAAACUAGACAAAACUCUUGGUAUGUGAAAUGUCCAAAACACCCCCAGAGUUUUUGGCGUUGUUUGGUGGGUGAGCUUUUUGGUAGAAUAAAACUUUAGGGAGAGUUCCACAACCUGCAGUAGGGCAUACCCACCAUAUGAUUUAUGUGUAGCAUUUAAUUAUUAGUUGUCUUUGGUAGUGGCGGAUCCAUGAUUUUAAACUCGGGGGAUCCCAAUAAUAAAGGUCAAAAAAUUUAUAGACAAAAAACAACAUUGAAAAUUUAAAUAUAAUACAUUUCAUUCAAAAAUCAUAUGCAAAACAAUAUUACAAAUUAUAAAAUCACAAUUCAAGCGUCCAUUACGAGGUUUCAUAAGUUACUAGGAAGUACCUAAGUUAUUGAUUAUCUAAUAUGGACCACUAAAUUUAAAACACCGGUCAAAUAAAACUCUCCCCAAACUCCCACUAUCUUUCUAACCAAACACACCAUUUUACUCUUUUACUAGUUUCCAAACAUCAAUUUUCUAUUUCACUAAGAACACAGCUGCCAUACCUCCACCAACUGCCUCCCUCCCCAUUCUCCUGAAGCCAUGGCAGCUCCACCCCCAAAUUUCACCAACCUAUGACAGAUCAUAUCCAUCUUACUAACCUUAUGUAGGAAAUUUCACCCAUAAGAAAAAUUAUUAAGGUGGUUGAAAUAAUUUGGGGAAAUUUGGGCUUAUGUACUGCCCCGCCAGACGACAGAGAAAGGUUGGAGGAGAAGUGGGUGGCAUCGAUGGAUGAGACCAUGGCAGAAGCAAGGAGGAGAGAGGCUGGAAUGGUCCCUAUUUUCUUUCUUCUCCGUGCGCGAUCAUCUUCUCCGAGAAGAAGACAACCACUGCAACCUGCAACCUACAACCUGCACAUACCUCAUGCUUGAGUAUGAAGGGUCCCUCCCUCCCCAUUCUCUUGAAGCCAUGGCAGCUCCACCCCCAAAUUUCACCAACCCAUGACAGAUCAUAUCCAUCUUACUAACCUUAUGUAGGAAAUUUCACCUAUAAGAAAAAUUACUAAGGUGGUUGAAAUAAUUUGGGAAAAUUUGGGCUUAUGUAUUGCCCCACCAGAUGACAGAGAAAGGUUGGAGGAGAAGUGGGUGGCAUCGAUGGAUGAGACCAUGGCAGAAGCAAGGAGGAGAAAGGCUGGAAGGGUCCAUAUUUUCUUUCUUCUCCGUGCGCGGUCAUCUUCUCUGAGAAGAAGACAGCCACUGCAACCUGCAACCUACAACCUGCACAUACCUCAUGCUCGAGUACGAGGGGCUUCAGAAAAAUUCUAGCAUCGAUUUAGGAUCGCCGACAGGUCUUGGGACCUCCCAAGUUCCUAUGUAGAUCCGUCUUUGGUCUUCGGUAUGAAUUUACGUAAAAAUUUAUAGAUUGCACCAAUAAAAACUGCUUACAGCGGAACUCAAACGUUACUAAGAUUACACACAAGACAACCCUACCAAUUUGAGCCAACCGUUGUUGGCUUUGGUGUGAGCUUUAGAGCAACUCCACCCAUGGAGCCCUCCCCCCUGGCAAUCCACUAUUCAAUCCACCAUAUUGAACAGUAACUGCCUUAAAUGAAUAGUAAUUACCAUUAAUGAACAGUAAUUGCCAUUUACAUCUCCACUCUUGGAACCCUCCCCCCUGGCAAUAAGCAAUAAAAAUAAUAGUUUUUUUAUGUUUAUUUAAAUAAUAAAAAAUUACAAAAGCUAUCUCUCUCUCUCUCUGACACAAAAAAAAUAAAAAAAUACAAAACCCUCGGGCCACAGGCCCGUCGACUCCCCACCCCCCCUUCGCUCGACCUCCCACCCUCACUCGGGCCCUUCCCCGCUGGAUUUGCUCCCACCGGCAUGAGGGCCCUUUCUCCUCGGCCUGACGCCCGAACAACCAGCAAGGCUGGAGUUGCUCUUAGGAGGGGAGUAAGUUGGGGAAAAAGUAGAGGGAGUAAAGUGGAAUUUCCCCUCCACUGCUGCGAAUGACACCACGCAUUUGGCACAACUUUUAACUUGCCGUUGAAUUAAAAAUUGGAUCUUUUCCUUGUGUGGGGGAAGAAGAAGAAACAAGGAAAGGAGGCCAAAGCAGCCGAAGAUGGCGUUGCAGACGGGGGUUUCCGGCUCCAAGGUUCUCAUCCUCGUCGGAGCAGGUCAGGAUUAUUGAAUGUUGUUCCUAUUGUACCCUUUUUACUUUGUUUUCUUUCCAGUUUGAUCUAAAUUCUAGAAAUUUGAUUGAUCAGAAACAAAAUUCUGAAACUUUGAAGGAUAUAACCGUAUUGAAACUGAAAUUGCACAGAUAGCAAGUAAAUUUGGGUACAAAUAGCAAUUAGUUGGUGAACUGAGUGAUAAGUAGUGCGGACUGUCUUUUGGCUGCUAUGGCUGCUGGACACAGAUUCAGGGUUUAACCUAUUUUUCAUUCUUCUGGGCGUGUAGAUGUUUGUUUAUUUUUGCUAUAAACUGUUGUAAUCUAAUGGGAUUGGGAUUCGAACUUGGUGCAAGGGGGCGGGCACGCCUCCUUGCCCAGCUGGCCUAACUCCGCGUCUGCUUUUCUAGGGGUGUAGAUUACUAAGUGGAUUCUUGUUACUUUCAUAAGUAAUGAUCCUAGUGCUUCAAAAGUAUAAUUCCUUUCUAUUUUAAUGAGAAUUUUUAGUAGGAAAGGACGGAAAAACAGAAUAGAACACGAACGGUUUACAAAACACAGUUUGUAUAUAGUUCUUUGUACCUUUCCAUCUAUUACUAUUUUCCUCUAACUAGUAAAUAUUUUGCGAUUCAGGCUUGACCAGUUCGAUAGUUUUGAGGAGCGGGCGAUUGUCUGAACUUAUUGCACAGCUUCAGGAUAUACUGAAGGGUGUAAAUGAAGCUGAUAUCUUGCCUGAGAAGUUUGAUAGUGCAAUUAUCAGAGCUCAGGUAUUGCAGCUUGAAUUCAAUUAGGUUUUUAUACUUAAAACAGAUUCAAAGUUUGCCAGAGAUACCGUGCAUCAUCUCAGAUACUGAUGUUUUGUCAUGGUCAAACGGUGACAAAUGCUACAAGUUUCAUCAAUUUCGGUUUGAAUAGUAUUAAUAUGUGAUGGCUCGAUCAAUAUUGUCAUCUACUUAAAGUCUUAAACCAAAAAUUAUAUUGAAACUUUAUUUAUCUUUCUUUUUGAACUCUAGAAGUUGAGCGUGAAGUGCUAUAAUGCCGGAACUCUUAUGGUUUUGUCCUCUUUUUUCAACUGUUUAGUCCAUAAAUGUGGUUAUAUUAUGCUUGUAGAUACAUAAUUUCUUUGCAGGGUUUGUAUAAGUUAAUACUUACAUGUGUUUUUUACCUUCAGAUUCAACAAUUGGCUCGAGAAAUCAGGGAGUUAACCUCAUCUGGCCCUGUAACCGUCUACAAUGAGAAUUCUUCCUCUAGUGGUAUAAACAGUUCUUCAGAGGCUUUAUAACGGUUUUGUGAUUUUCAUAGAUUAAAGUUUCUAUGAAUUGUUCAGAAACCACUUUGCACAUUUAUUCUCUGCCUGGGAAUGAUCGGGACUUUAUAUCGAUAGAGAUGUUCACAUAUUUCAUGUCACAGCAGGGAGUUAUGCUUCAUAUUUAGUUCCAGCUGCUGCAAUUGGUGCAAUGGGCUAUUGUUACAUGUGGUGGAAGGUACCUCUCCAAAAAUUUGUCGUGGCAAUCACAAACACAUUCUAUUUAGUUCUGCACUUGUAAGGAUUUGUAUCAUUGCUGAUCUACGGGUAUGUCUGUGAUAUCGUGCAGGGCUGGUCAUUUUCUGAUGUAAUGUUUGUAACAAGGCAUAAUAUGGCAAAUGCUGUUGCAACCGUGUCCAAACAAUUAGAGAAUGUGCAUGAAACGUUGGCGGUAAGUCAGAUGUGUUGGCCAUGGUGUGGUUGGCUUUUCCAGAUGGUAAUCCUCAAAAGGGUCUGCAGCACGCUGAUGUCUCGACUGUCAUUUUGCAGUGUACAAAAAGGCAUCUGUCGAAGAAGCUGGAAAACUUGGAUUGGAAGGUGGAGGAGCAGAAGGAAAUAACUCAGCUUAUCGCAAAUGAUGUAUGAAACAUUAUAUUUACGUACUUUCUUUUCAAUGAUGUAUUUACAUACUCCGAUGUAAAUAAGUACUCACUAUGAUCGUAUCCAUUUUCCAUUUCAUUUGAAUGCAGGUGAAUGAGGUGAAAACAAACCUUUCUCAAAUUGGGUUUGAUGUAGAAAUGAUUCAUCAGAUGGUGUCUGGGUUGGUGAGUUGAUAUAUUUUCUUUAAUAUGUUCUUUUAUGUUGCUCAGAAAUGCUUUAAGCUUAUCAGAGUACUUAUGUUGUAUUUGUUAAUUGGCUCAACAGGAAGAGAAGGUCGACCUUAUUGAGAGCAAACAGGUUAUAUUUCUGGUUAUGCUACGACUUUGGAAAUCUUCUGCAUUUUUCUAUUUUCUUUUCGUCUCUGUAGUCAUUGAUUUGACCCUUUUGUUUUCAAUACAGGAUGCAACCAACUCAGGUCUAUUGUAUCUAUGCCAAGUAGCAGAUGGCGUCAAAGGUCAGCUGGAUACUAAACCCUUACAGGUCAGGAUAUUUUCUUUUUGUUCUUUAGAAAACUGAUUACUAAAUGAGCUAGGGGAUAUAUCUAGUUAAUCGAUGAAAUGUGCUUACUGCACGUCAACAUUGUCAAGGACCCAUCGUCCUCCUCGAUCAGUUACUAAGUUAUCUUAGUAGUUGUAUAUCUGCAGAAUGUCUCAGCUAAGCUAGGAAAGCAUUCACCAAUGGCAAUAGAGGAUAAAUCACCCAAGGUAGAUUGACCCUCAUUUUCUUAUGUUUUCCACAUUACGCUUUUUUAAUAUUUGGUUGUAACAUGUCCAAACUUCGAAAAAUACUUUAGGGCCUUCAAUUCUUUGCUGACAAUGAAGAACAGAGCACAACGGAGAAAUCAAUGACAAAAAAGAAUGAUCCCAACAUCUUCCCUGGAGAAAAAGUUCCAGCAAUAAAAACAAGAAUACACCGGUCAUAUCCAGUUGGGAUUUCUUUGACCCGGGACAAAAUGGGCUCGGGUAUAUGAUUUUUUUGUUUGUUUUCUUUUUGGGUUUGUUUUCAUCCCAAGUGAUUUAUUUCAUGAAGGGCCGCCUUCGCAAUUCAUAUUUCAUAUUGAUUCUUGCUGUAACUUCUGACUUUUUGUUCUCUGCUUAAGGAGAAUUACAGGGAGUGCAAUUUGUGGUUGUCAUACAUGUAUAAAAUAAAGUUGAUUAGUCUUGUAAUUGUGAUGGCAUUUGUUCAAUUUACUGCAUCAAUGUGUUUUAGAAACAUCCGAGUACUAUAUGCCACAUUUGUCGGAGUUAAAACAGAAGCCUCAGUCAGUCCCCCGAAUCUAUGAUCGGGCUUGAGCUCAUGGCCGGGAGCUCAAGGUCCGGCGCAGAUCAGCUCAUGGCCGAGAGCUCAUAGCUCUGAUCGGACUUGAAACUAACGUAAAAGGUUCAAGAUUCACAGCGUCAACUCGAAAUAAACUCCGAUAGUGUACAAGUGUAAUCUCCAGAGAAUUUGAGAUUGGAACAUCAAACAUGCAUAAAACUUGGGCGUAGUGUUGCAAAAAAUUCACAGCAUUUUGUUAAUGGCAAAAUCUCGAUGGAAGGACAUGACCAAGUAAAGGCGAAGAAAGAAAGUUGAGUGAUCCAACUCAGUUUCCAGGGACAUGGAAGGGUAUUAAGAAAUGAAAUAUAGAAAUUCUGGUUUGAAAAGGGGACGAGUACGUGAUCAAUUUUUAAGAGUUUUUAUUAAACCAUCAUUUCCACUUUAACGAUAAUAUUGACAAAUUUUUCAAAAAAAAAAAAAAAAGUAAUGACAAAAAAAAUAAAAAUGAAGUCAUUGACAUAUACUUGAAGGAAUGGCACUUGAAAUUAAAAAUGAAGAAGCAUUCAAAGUCAUCGAACUCCACAGUUUUGAAGGACACACUUUUCAAAGAUGGAAGGGUCAUUGUAUUAAAAUCUUUGCCCUGUAUUAUGCUCACAUACUCCAAAUUUUAACAGGUCGAAGAUUUUGCAUCACCAACAGUAUGCAAGAACAAGGAGAGGUAGCCAUUUAUUCCGUUCUUCAAAAUUUUCUUUAGGGCCCUAGGCGGUUGCCUUGCUCGCCCUAGGUCAGGACGGCGCUAUUAAUCUUUGGAAGGCUGGUAUCCAACUGUUUGACGCCUCCCCAAGUUGCAAAAUUUGACCACUUAUCUACCAUAGUUGCGUCUCCAUCAAAGUACCUCACGCAAAGAAUGAAUUUGUGCGCAAGAUGUGCUCAUUUUUCUUGCGGAAUUAACAGUGAAUCGCAUCCCCAAAUAAUUAUUCUCUACAUGAGAAUGUCGUCAAAGUAUUAUGAUGGUCGAAUAUCUUCAGGAAGUGUCAUCCAAGGCAAGAGAGCAGGUUAAUGUCAACAUAUACAUAAACUAAUAAACUGAUCGAAAGUAUCUAUAUAACAAAAAAUAACAAGUAGAAGACAUAAAAUUCAUAGGCUAAAACUUUGUUCAUAGACAAUCUCUGCACUCAAUGAAAAAAGUUCUGCAGUAUGACGUUGGCUCAACUCCUACUGUGGUAUCUCAUUGCUCACGGCUCAUACCAUAUCUGUGAAAUAUUAACGUUAAUACUAGCUCCACCUGUUCCAGCGACAUACUACUACGGGUAAUUCUAACUCUGCCGAAGGAGCCAUCCAGUGCACGGAGUUCCUCAACUCGGGAAGUUCUCUCUUUGUUGGAGAUAUCCUGGUGAGAUGACCUUCAGAUGCUUGAGAUUCGGCAAUGGUGGAGAGCAUAUCUUUCUAAAUUUCUUUGGAAAGAAGAGAUCCUAAACCAUGCACACAAACAAAAAUUUGAGAACGGAAUGAUUCAUUGUAGAACUUGGAAUAUGUUAGCAAAUACAAAAAUUCGAAAGUGAUCAAACCCAUCAAGCAUGCAUAAAUAGAUACAUGUUAUAUUUAUAUACCGUAGCAUCAUGAACUUUCAGUGUAAUUUUUCUGGAGCAGUCAAAACUUUCAAGAUAAUCUCGUAGAGAAGAAAGGUGGUCCAAUGAGCAGUUGUGGGUAAUUCAAUGUCUGGAAGUGUGAUGCUAGCCUCCCAUAACUUUGCAGCCCAAGCGCUAGCCUUCAAAAAACCACUGAAUGAUAAAGAAAUAUUUGGGAUAAUGAUUGUGGCCUCCACAUUAUCUUGGCCUGCCCAUAUUACAAAGUUUCUCAGGUGCUUAGCCUCUCUGAGAGUGACGUGCUUCGCUGUGCACCUUUGAUCCGAAGUACUUGAAACAAAUUUAAAAGAUUCCAGAUUCUUAGCAGCAACUUCAUUCUCCUCACAAGUGCAGAGUAUAAUUUUCAAGGAUUUGAGACUGGACCUUGAAACAGAAUAGUCCCGCAAGUUACAUGACGUUAAUGACAAGUACUCGAUGGAAGGGCACUUGAAGUUAUGUUUGAAGAAAUCAGUGAAGUUAUCCAAUUCUACUUUUUUCAUGGACAAACUUUUCAAGGAUGGAAGGGUUAUAUCAACAGAAUAUCUCCACUGACGAUUUAUUUCCACAUACUCCAAAUUUAAACUAGUUAGAGAUUUUGCAGCAUUACCAAUGGUUUCUAAAGAUAAAGAGAAGAACUUAUCUGGUAUGUGGCAGAAAUACUUCGUGUUUGGUUUGCAUUCUACCUUGUCCUCCCAGUUUUCCUUUGGAAGGCUGAUAUCCAACUCGUUGACACCUCUCUCAAUUGCAAAGUUUAACCACUUACAUACAAUAGUUGCGUCUCCAUCGAAGUACCUCAUGUGAAGCUUGAAUUUGUAUAAGAGCUGCUUGUCAUUCUCACGGAAUUGAUCUAAAUACCUGUCCCAAUCUUUGAUGAAGUUUCUUGGACGUUGAUCAUCAAAGUUAUGAUGAACGUGGCCCUCAUUAAAAUCUAGUACAAAAACUGAAGACCUAAGGCCUUCCCAUUGCUUGGAAAGAAUGCUCAUCUGGGCCGCGGGUGUAGUGGGAAGGAGUGGGAGGAUUCGGUUGAUAACAGUCUGGUACAUGACGUCGCAGCAUCAGUUCGGCAUCCUUCAUGUUUGGGUCAUCUUUAUUUUCCUUCAUGUCGUCUUGCUUUCUGAUCUUCUGUGUGGGUUCUUUCGGAUGUCGCCUUACACUUUUUGCUUUGCUGGAUUUUGUGAAUGUCAAGAGAAGAAAGGAGGUUUGUAAAUAAAGUAGUAGGAAACCUACCUUGAAGUUCAAGCAAUUGGAGACUAGGGUUUUUUCCGGGCCUAAAUCGAUACCCUUAAGCCCACAUAUACCUGUAUGAUUAAAGCAGUGUGAAUGCCCACUAAAAAAGCAGUGUGAAUGAAGACUUUGAAAGAUGAUUAAAAUUUAUUAUUCACUUGAUAACUUUUGUUUCCAUUAAUAUAUUAAAAUAACUCAUAUGAUGGAUUUGUUAGAUCUUGACUUUUGCCUAUAAAAAUUGAAAAAUAAAGGAAAAAAGGGAGAUGAGAAACAUACGAAAGAAAAGAAAAAAAAAAGGAAGGAAAAGAGAGAAAAAAAGAAAAAAAGUACUAUUGCUGCCCUAAAAACAUAGGCACACUCGUCAAACCUCGUAAAUGUUGUGUUUUAUCAACUUUAUUCUACGCACACAAAUCCUUAUUUUCACAACCAGUUGGUAUUAUACGUUGAGUGUGAUUGUGAGAAUUAAAAGUAGAAAUUUUGUAAAAAUCCUAUAGGCAUCGCCCUCCCUAUUCCUCUAAGCUUGGGUCAAAUUAAUUUUACAUCGACCCGGCCCAACUUGAACCCGCUUGACCUUUCGGGGUACAAAUACGAGCUGCGUGCUAGGGCUUUCGAUUCGAUUUCCAGAAGCUCGUUUUUAUCAGAUUGUGCUCCUCCGUCGAACCCUCCUUCAAGUUUCGCCUUUUCGCAAACCAGAGGUAUUCUCAUCCCUAUCUUUUUCGUCUUCUGAAAUUGUUAUCGAUUCUAGGGUUUCGUAGUUUUCCUGUAAAUCGCUAUAGCGGGCUGUGCGUUGAAUUUUUUUGGGAGAUCUCAUCUAAUUACAUAUGGGUUUUUUGAAUUUCAGAGAAUUUGUUCUUCCUGAGGUUUCUUUUUUAUUGGAAUUUUUUGUUAAUUUUAUUGGUAUGAUUGUUUUUCCCCUAAUUUUGAUGAAUUUUAUUUCUUGAAGUUAAAUUUAUGUUUGAAUGAUAAAAUUUUGAAUCUUUUUUUCUUCGAAAUCGAAAUUAACUGUUGUUUGAGUUAAGCUGAACGGACCCAGAAUCUGUUUUUGUUGGAAUUUAAUUUCUAAUUCAUUGAAAAAAAAAAUUUUGAUAACCUAUAUUUUUAGGGUUUUUUUUUUUUAAGGAAAACUAACAAAAAAAAAAUUCUCUUUUAACGAAAAGCCUUUGUUAAAGGGAUAGUGAAUACGGCCACUUAAAAGUAAAACUAUGGUAUUUCGUUAAAAGUAAACAGUACCGAAAGUGUUUUACUUUUUUUUUUUUCAUUGGUAAUUUGAGUUUAUAUGCUUUAUUGUACGUUUUUGUCCGAUGAAAAUAUGUUUUCGUGAACUUUGAGGGUUGUGAUCCAGUUUUGGUGUUUGUUGAAUAAUUUAUCAAGUUAUGGAAGUGGUUGAUAUUCAUGUUUGAGUACCUGAUUGUACUUUGGUUGCAGAAACAGAACUUGUAAUCAUGCCGAAGAACAAGGGUAAGGGAGGAAAGAACAGGAAGAGAGGUAAGAAUGAAGCUGAUGACGAAAAGCGUGAGCUUGUGUUUAAGGAAGAUGGACAGGAGUAUGCCCAAGUGCUCCGAAUGCUUGGUAACGGUCGGUGUGAAGCCAUGUGCAUUGAUGGGACCAAGCGACUUUGUCACAUCCGUGGUAAGAUGCACAAGAAGGUUUGGAUUGCAGCUGGUGAUAUCAUUCUUGUCGGCCUUCGUGACUAUCAGGACGACAAAGCUGAUGUGAUCCUCAAGUACAUGCCUGAUGAGGCUAGGCUCCUGAAGGCAUAUGGAGAGCUUCCAGAGAAUACACGUCUCAACGAGGGUAUUGCUGGGGGUAUUGAUGAUGAAGAAACCGAAGGUGGUGUUGACGACUAUAUUGAGUUUGAGGAUGAAGAUAUCGACAAGAUAUAGGCUUUCAGGUUAAAACUCUAUUUUGAUGUUAUGUUUUUACCGUUACCGAUUGGCAGUUACUUGUCAUUAGUAUAAGUCAAACUUGGAUUGGCAGUUGGCUCUGUAUGGUUCUGUAUUUCCAGAUGGGGAAUUGGUCAUGUUCCAUGUAACAUCUGUUAUUACUAAUACAUUUGAUAUGUUUGUCUUCUUUUUCGAAUAACUAGUUUCAUCACGGAGGUUCUUCCCUUUUACUCUGUUUACCUUGUUCUGUGUUUCGUUUGUAACAGCGUCGUUGACAACGUUUUGCCUAAUUAGUCGUGUGUUUACAUUCGUUGGUCUCUUCGGAGAAGAUGAGGUUCCUCGAGUUGCAUGUUUAAACUCACUCAGGUAUCAAGCAUCAGAUUAUAUAUAAGAUAUCAGAUUAUUUACUUGACAGAGAUUCUACAGGGAAAUCUGUGUUCAUUAGAAUGCAGUAUUUCUGCACUUCCUUCUCCCCGUUUGCUUUUCGUUGCGCUCUUCAUCUCUUUUGGGUUCCCUCGAACAAUCCUUCUUGCUCACCUGUAUCAAUGUUGAAGCCAGUCAUUGAAUUGAACGCCGGAACUUAGUAAUUUUGUUCUUCAAAUAUCGAUCCUCUUUUGACAAGCUCAGUUCGGAUCAUAGCUUAAAUGGGACAGAUCCUUACCUUGGGAUACUCUUUCCCACACUCGUAGCUUGGCAUCGAUUUUCGCCUUUAUAGGCUUCUCGUAGCCUUGAAUCUGUUCUUAGUUGGACUUAAACCAUCCUUCUCUUCUGCUGGUACUGGAAAGUUAUCAAAUAGGACACCGACUUCAUUAGAUCCGCAGCUCUCUUUUUCUUCACCUGCAACGUCGAAGAAUCUCUUUCCGAUGACAAAUCGUUGGCUGCUGUGAAUUGGUUCAACGUGGUUGCUUAUAUGACUUUCUGCGGGGGAGAUUUCAGCAGGGCGGGUUGCCAUCCACCGUUCUAGCCAGCUCCAACCCAUGUUCUGUUCUGUGCCAUCAGAUGUGGUGUGCCUUUUCUUUGAGCAGAUCCUUAGCUUCAAACAAAUAAUACUAAGUUAAUUAGUUUCCAAAACCGUAGGAGGAGUCUUAGAACCUCUUUUGAUGUAGUCGGUUAUUUAUCACACACACACACACUCUCUCUCUUAAUCACCGGUUGCACAAUAGAAUCCCAACUCUUUUAGGAAUGAAUUUCAGUAUCUGUUGUGAAAGGAGUUCGAAGUUUCCUUGGUAAUGUGGGCUUCUAUCGAAGAUUUAUCAAGGAUUUCUCGAAAAUAACCAAGCCUCUUAGUGAUCUUCUUCAGAAAGAUGUGUGUUUGAGUUCGAUUCUGAAUGCUUGUCAACUUUUAAUACCUUGAAGACUCUACUUACUUCAGCCCCUAUUCUGACAGCACCUGAUUGGAGCCUUCCAUUUGAACUGAUGUGUGAUGCAAGCGAUUAUGCCUUAGGAGCUGUUUUAGGGCAGCGAAAGGACAAACUUCCGCAUGUUCUUUACUACGCAAGCCGCAUUUUAAACAACGCAUAGCUCAAUUAUUCCACCACAGAAAAGGAGAUGCUUGCUGUAGUAUUUGCACUUGACAACUUUCAAUCCUAUCUUAUUUGUUCGAAGGUUAUUGUAUACACAGAUCAUGCAGCCUUGAGGUACUUGAUGUCUAAAAAGGAUGUAAAACCAAGGCUAAUGAGAUGGGUUCUUCUUCUUCAAGAGUUUGAUCUUGAGAUUAAAGACCAAAAUGGGUCCGAAAAUGUGGUGGCAAACCACCUGUCAAGGCUUAUUCAAGAUGGUGAGGUAGAAUCAACUGUACCGCUUAAUGAAGCUUUUCCAGAUGAACACUUGUUUGCUGCCCAACAUGGAGAAGUCCCAUGGUUUGCUGAUUUCGUAAAUUAUUUGGCUAGUGGUGUGAUUCCAAACGAUUUUAGUUUUCAACAAAAGAAGAAAUUUCUCUCCAUGGUCAAGCACUAUUUUUGGGAUGAUCCGUACUUGUAUAAACAUUGUCCAAAUCAAGUGAUUCACAGAUGUGUACCCGAAGAUGAGCAAAUCAGCAUUCUCAAUCAUUGCCACUCUCUUGCGUGUGUGGGGGACAUUUCAGUGCCUAAAAAACAGGAGCAAGGGUUCUCCAAUUUGGGUUUUUUUGGCCAUCUUUAUUCAAGGAUUCACAUGUUUUUGUUGCCUCUUGUGAUCGCUGUCAAAUGACUGAAAAUAUUUCUCGUAGAAAUCAGAUGCCUCUUAAUAAUAUUCUAGAAGUUGAACUCUUCGAUGUGUUGGGAAUUGAUUUUAUGGGGCCAUUUCCUGCUUCUUUCUUGAACAAGUAUAUAUUGGUAGCAGUUGAUUAUGUGUCGAAAUGGGUGGAAGCUGUUACCGUUCCUACAAAUGAUGCUCGAGUUGUUCUCCAAUUUUUGAAGGCAAAUAUAUUCACCCGCUUUGGGACCCCUCGUGCUAUUAUUAGUGGCGGAGGAACUCACUUUUGUAAUAAGCAAUUUGAAGCUCUCUUGGCAAAGUAUGGAAUCACACAUAAGGUUGCUACACCUUAUCACCCUCAAACAAGCGGACAAGUGUAAAUUUCAAAUCGGGAAAUCAAGCAGAUUAUGGAGAAGACUGUGAGUGCUUCGAGAAAAGAUUGGUCGAAGAAGUUAGACGAUGCUUUAUGGGCAUAUCGCACUGCUUUCAAAACUCCAAUUGGCAUGUCUCAUAUCGGCUUGUUUUUUGUAAAGCAUGUCACUUGCCGGUUGAGCUGGAACACAAGGCUUUCUGGGAAAUCAAGACAUUGAAUUUUGACAUGGAAGCAACUGGGAAGAAAAGAUUGUUGCAACUUAACGAGAUGGAAGAAUUCCAAAACGAUGCAUAUGAAAAUGCCAAGAUCUAUAAAGAAAGAACUAAGAAGUGGCAUGAUCAGAACAUUCUACGAAAAUAAUUUUAUGUCGGACAGAAGAUGUUGCUGUACAAUUCCAGAUUAAAGUUGUUUCUUGGAAAGCUUCGUUCUCGGUGAUAUGGUCAUUUCGUGGUAGUGCAAAUUUAUCCAUAUGGCAUGGUGGAAAUUCAGAAUUUGGAGUCGAGAAGCAUAUUCAAGGUUAAUGGUCAAAGAUUGAAGCCUUAUGUGGAAACAAAUUUUGAUACCAUGAAGACGGUGACCUCGCUUCGAGAUCCAGCAUAAACAUCAUAUGGUUCGGCUGAAGACUAUAAAUUUAGCGCUCUAUAGGAGGCAACCCAUGCUUUUAUCAUCCUUUUUAUUUGUUUUAUUUAAUUCAGUUUUGAUGUUUGUUUUCUGCCUUCUUUGUUCGGCUACUUGCUGAUAGAUUUCUGUUGGUGUAGGGACGUCUAGCUGCCACAUCAUAAUGAUUGAAACCAUGAAUGUUUAAGUUUGGGGGUGGCUACUGCAUUGAACACCAUGGCUGCCAUGUGAAGCAUAAACCAGGGGAGUUUCUCUGUCCAAGUGAUAUUACUCAUUCAUCUUCCCUUUCUUCUUUUUAAGUACCUUAUUUCUAGACAUUGAGGACAAUGUCUCAUCCAAGUUUGGGGGUAGGAGUGAGAUUUUUAAGUCCAGGUAUCAGAAAUUUGUUUAGUGUGAGUGUUUCAUUUGAAAUAAGCAUGUUGUUUUUAACUGCCUGGAUCCUCCCUUUUUAAUUAUUUACUUUUAGUUAGUAUUUUGGUUGAAAAAAAAAAACUAAAACAAAUCAGAAGCAUUCAGUUUCAAAAAAAAAAAAUAUUGUUUUUAUUUCUUGUUUUCAGUGAGAUUUUUGUUAGUUUCCCGACCCAAUGAUGAAAUUAAAUUGAGUUUGAACCAUGGUUAUUGAGAAAGUCGUAAGCAUGUUUUAAGUGAAUCUCUUUAUUCUUUGUUAGCUUUGCUUUGUACAUGUUCGAUCAUCCUUGGAAAACUGAAUGCACAUAGCCUUGUUGAUGUAAUACUAAAGCAUGGUUUAACACUUCAUAUGUGAAUAUAGUGACUUAAUGUAAUCCUUGUGAGCUUUUGAGCCUAUUCUAUGGUUGAACUAUCAUGCAUCAAUCACAUUUAUUCUCGUGCGUAUGAUCUCAUUGUUACAUGUAUCUCUAGAACUUGCUUUAUACCUCUCGAAUCAUUCAUCAAUUCAUGCAAUAACUUGGAAGUGAUAUAGGCUAUUUUUGGAUCGUUUGAGCCUUUCAUGCCUACCUUAUAUGCUAUCUUUAUCUUUAGUAGCCCGUUGAGCCUUUAACUAAGCCAUUUCUUUGCUAGCCACAUCUCUUUACCAUGCUUCAAUAUUGGAGUUGAGCUCAUACACAGAAAUCGAUCCCUUAUUGUUUUGAGAAAGUAUUACAAAGGUUGUGCUUUUGGGGUUUUGUUUAUAUAGAAAAAGUGGAUGGAGCAUGUGUAUUACAAUGAAAUGUGAAUUUGAGGGGUGAUGUAGCUUUGCAGAUUUGAGCAUGAUUAAAAAAAAAAGAGGGAAACGGUUAAAAAUCCGCAGGGUACUGUCAUUAGUUGUGGUGGUAUGAGUUUCAACAUUAAAAAAAAUUAAAAAGAAAACAACAAGAAAAAAAAGAGUGCUGAGAUGUUGAAAAUGUGUUUUGCACAAGCUUACUUCUAAUCUUAAGUGUCAAUGUUAUCAAAAGUAAAGCUUGAGAAUGCAGUUGUAUGUUUUAGAGGACUAAUCUUUGGAUGCAAAAUAUAAAUUUUCAUUUGAAGUUGAGUAGGGGAGCAGCAAGUGCUACGGGUAUGUUGUUUGCUUUCAAUUUGAGUGGGUGUGAUAUUGGUGUUGGAAAACUACUAAUGUGUACUUUCUCAAAAAUUUUGGUUUCCAUAUCCUUUCUUUCAUUAGCCUAUCACCCAUAGCCCCAUUACAACCCAACUAGAGUCCUAUAGAUUCAAGUAAUUACAUGAUAUUAAUAGCGAGGUAGGUUGACAAACAAGCAUUUGGCGGCAUGUUUGAUUAAGAUCACUUGAGUGAAACACAGUACCCAGAAAUAUGAGAAUGAAUGUAUGCCCGGUGAGGAUGUUACUUGUUUGCAUAUGAUGAUUUUAAGAAGCUUAGAAUUGCAUUGGCAUGGUUAUCGCACACACUACACUUCAAGGAUGAUUGAAAGGUUUUUGCUAAGAAUUGGAAUGUGGUUGAUUCACUUGCUUUGUGCUUACUAUGGAUUUGAUUAUGAUGUAUCUUGAAAAGAAAAAAAAAAUUCGAUGAGGCUCACGUAGAGGGAAACUAACGCUUUCCAUGCUAUUACUUUUUCAUGAAUUUCUUUUGUUUGCUCGAGGACAAGCAAGAUGUAAGUUUGGGGGUAUUUGAUGAGCGCAUAUUUUACUACUUAUUUUAUUCUGAAAGCUACAUUUUCUUGUGUCAUGUUUGUUCUAAAUGAAUGAAAUUACAUGGUUUUGAGAAAAAUAUGAAUUCAAUCCUUUUAAGUUCAAUUCAAGUAAAGUAGCUGGAAUUUGGUUUUGUUUAGUAAGUGGAUUGAGUUGAAGUGUGUAUGUCAUAUUUUAUUUUUUUAAGUCAAAAUUGGUCUUAAGUGAUAUUCAAGAGUUGGGAAAAUUUUAAUUACAUUUUUGGCUCAUCCAAAUCUUAUGCAAAUCUUUCCUUUAUAAAUUAUACAACAACUUAUUUGGUUGAAUUUUUCUGUAGGGAUCAUAUUGCUUUACAAGUCUAAAAGGAGCGUUGACUUGUCAACUAGACCAUUCACUUGCGCGUGACUUCUUACCAAUUGCAUGGAAAAGAGUUUUUAUUGUUUUUUGUUCCAAAAGAAAGGGAAGGCUGCGUUCACCUCUCGCAUUCUACAUGAGUAGCCAACCAAUUCCAUUUCAAGAAAAAGAAAAGAAAAUGAUAGUAUUCAAUUCCACACACCACCAGAGAUAGUACUUCACACACACUAAAUUUUCA